This 46817-nucleotide long non-coding RNA is filed under the name Eucalyptus grandis. RNAcentral's name for it is "long non-coding RNA (EGRA_LNC000868)". Lineage: Eukaryota; Viridiplantae; Streptophyta; Magnoliopsida; Myrtales; Myrtaceae. The record is from RNAcentral.
CUUGUAAGAAACACAAUCAAUGAUCACGUGGGUGGACCUUUGCCUUUCUCAAGUUGUCAGUACAUAGUUUAACCAUUAAUAGAAUAAAUAGAUACUCAAGAACCAGCUUAAGAGAUGGAGUAUCAUGCCAAACAUAGACAACAGAUGGCAUCCUUAUCCAAGCUUAUGCCACUUCCAAUUACUUUAGGAAGUCAUUUCCAUUGCAGCUUAUUUAAGUUGAGUGCUCUUACUCCAUAUAAUGAAUGAUAUGCCACUAAGUUUUCCCAAACGACAGAACCUAGAUCUUUUCCAAAGCUCAAACAAGGAACAUUGCAUUCUGUUAUAUUAGAACUUCAGAGGGCUUCAGAAGGUCUAGGGUAACACUGACAAUUUAAUAAGGCUAGAAACACAGAAAAUGCAAAAAAGUUUGGAAAAAGAGUUUAAGUUAGCUUAUAUAAAAGGAAACUUGCUUAUAUUUAUCUGGAAUAAGGACAAAAGUUUUGCAAUGGCAACAUCACAAAUGAUUAUUCUUUUUGAAGUAACUCUAGCAUGAUCUUUCUUCAUGUGCGAGGCAUGCCAAAGCUUAUGCAUAUGUCACGCAAUGUCCCUCAUCAACAACAAAACCAGAGAGUUGUGCCUACAAUAAAAUAUCAUCAAAUAUAAAAAAUUAUAAAGAACCAUUUUGGAAAAAAGUUACAGUGCAUCAGAAACAACACCUUUCUGUGCAUGCAUUUCAAUAUCUCGAGAAAUGAUAUUUUUCCCCCAAUCCUUUUAGGAGUUACAUGCAAUAGCUUGCACGAUGUUUAUCUUUUCUGAAAGGGCAGGCAAAGCAGAAGUGGAGGUUAAUAAUUUGGCAGUCACAACACUCAGCAUAAAAGUUUUUUGAUCAAAAACCGCGAGGACAACUGCCAAUUGGGCAACAGUCUGUUGAGAGUUCAAGAAAGUAGAUUGUAUGCUGUACUUGAGGGUUACAUUAGUUAUUUGAUCCUAGAUGAGAAAUAGCAAGGGAGAUAUAACAACUGUGACACCUGGUUUUAAAGUUGCUAGCAGCUGAAACGAAGGUAAAAACAUCAGAAGAGCAAAUGAAGAAAGGAAGGGACGAUGGAAUUAUUAUUUCUUUCACCUUCAGUUGAUCAGGAAGGACAAGUUGUCACUACUUGUUUUAUAAUUACUUUCAGUACAUAUAUCAACUACUUCAAGACUAAAUAGAAAACACUUCUAAAAAAAUCAACUUAAUAAAUCCAAACUUAUAUCUUCCUUCUUAAUUCAGUUAUCAUUAAUUUUGCUUGCAACCAAGAUCCAUUGUAUAUUAAAGGACAUUAAUUUCAAACCAAUUAUGGGAAAAAGAAGUCCUAGAUCAUCACCCUUUGUUGAGAUAAUGGCAUAGCAAAUAACUGCAAAGGACCUUACCAAAAAAAAAAAACUGCAAAGGACAUAUAAAAAUCUAGAACCCAUUUCUCUCUGACUUAAUAACCCUCUUGAAUUGGACAUGAAUUAUGACUGACAACAACACAUAACAUGCAUAAACAAGAUGAAUUUUCAUGUAAGUGAUUAGAAGGUCCUAGAAGUGUAGCGCAAACUUCAAAUCCUAAAGAUUACAGACUAGAUAGAGAGGUGCGAAGGCAGAACAAGAAUGUACAAUAUUUCCUUCUUUUCUACUUUUGUCCGAUGCCAUACAUUGGAACCCAUGCUUAUGUGCCUGAAUCACUUCCUAUAGCUUAAUUUCAUUUGAAAAACAUUUCCUUCCUUAAGUUCACAACCUUCUUAAAAUGCUAAACAAAGCAGAUCAGAAGAUCAUGUUAUAGCUUAAAUGUUGACAUACAAGUCUACUUAAACAUUUAAUUGGUGGAACCACUGAGCAAAGUGCACAGGGCUUGUGCUCUAACAUUGUCUCCACACACUUCUACAUACAAUCAUCACCCAGUUGAGACAAUGUUAACAUUAACUAACCUGGUAACAUAAACUUUUACCACCUUUAUUGGGCAUGAGAAUAAAGCAAACUUGCUUGGCUACAGAAGCUUUACAAGCCUGACGUUGCAUUGGUCGAAAUGCCUUGGUUCCGAAUAUGACAAUGUGACAUCCCGAUUUUUCUCAAUUUUAUUUUUAGUCAAUUGAGUCGGGCAAUUCAUCUGUGCGUGUAGUUCGUCUCUCAGAGUUGGCCACUCACGAGGGAACUAGUCUAUUGAGUGAAGCAAUUAAGGAAUUUUAAUGCGUCAGACUUGGGGACUGAUCACCCUCGGGUCGGAUGCAAGAAAAUUUCCCCAAAAGCUACUCAGUGGAUUAGGCGCGCUGAAAUCGCACCAGAGUGAAUUCAACCGUAAAAAUUGGGAUUGAAUUUAGAAGUUGGAAGCCCGGUUAUGUCACACAUCUUAUUAGGAUGAUGGGAUAAUUUUGUGGAUUUUAAUUGAAUUCAAUUAGAAGAGAAUUGAAAGAAAAAUUGAAGAAAUUGGAUGUGCAAGGAUUUGGACCCCUGUGGAAAUGAUAUUGCACCCAUUGAAGAAUGUUGCGGGAGAGGAGAUACUGGAAGAUGACAUCAUGGGGGUGAUGUCAUGCUGAUUGAAGCCAAGGAUUGAGGGCUUGACAAGUGGAGGGUGGAGAUUUAAUCUCCAAAAAGGGGGCCAUCACCAUCAUCUUCAACCUUGGGAAGGAGAGAGAGAGAACUGGCGAAGGGGAGCUCGCCCGUCGACCAGCCUGCCCGCGCAUGCCGCUCCUCUGCCGUUCGUCGUCGUCGUGCAGCGCCGUCGUCACCGUCCCGUGCGACCGCGCAUCGCCCCGCACCCGCGUGCUCAUGCUUCGUCAACGCCGCCUCAGCAGUGCUCGUCCCGUCGGCCCAGCCACCCCAGCCGCUGUUCGACCUUGCCAGAGCCUCCUUCACCGUCGCCGUUGAGCCAGCCGAGCCGCCGCCUCUUCCUCCGCUCGUUUCGCACGCCUGCACCUCCCCGUCGCGCCUCUUUCCGGCCCGGUUCAACUGCUCCAUUUAUGGGUAUCUUAGCCCCUUCUAGGCCCACUUUGGCUAUCUUCCCGGCUCCGGAAGCUAGGCCCGCCUUUGGAAAAGUCAAUCCCGGCGUUGCCCUCGUCGUUUUGGUCCAAGCGGUGAGUUAAUCAAGUGAGUUUAUCUCACUAAACCCUAAUUAGAGUGUUAAUAAUGCCCUAAGUUUGUUUAGUUUGAAUUAGGUGAAUUUAGGUGGGUAGAUUAGUAUAUUUAAUUAUAAAUUGGGUUAAGAGGUUGGUUUAUAUUAAAGUAUGUUUAAUUAAGGUGAAAAUAGGUUAUUUAAUGUUAAGCCUUGAUGGGACAUAAUAGGAUUUUAGUUUUGAAUUAUUUAAUUGCUUCAAAAUUCUGGAUAAUAUAAUAUUAUAUUAUAAUCCGAAAUUAUUUAAAUAUUAUUAAAAAAACGGAAAAAUUAUUUUUGACCCCGGUUGCUCAGAAUUUCGUGACGAUCGCUGCUAUGCAUUUAGAAUUUGAAAUUGAUGAUUGAUUGUGACAAAUUGAGUGUGAUUGCGAUAAAUAGAGAUUUUUUUUAUAAAAUCUUAAGUGUGGAAAUUGAUGGGAGAUUGGCCGUGAUUGACCACCUAUUAGAGGUCGUGCCCAAUAGGGUCGUGAUUAACCACCUAUUAGAGGUCAUGCCCAGUGAGGUCGUGAUGUACCACCUAUGAGAGGUCGUGCCCAAUAGGGACGUGAUUAACCACCUAUUAGAGGUUGUGCCCAGUGAGGCCGUGAUGGACCACCUAUGAGAGGUCGUGCCCAAUAGGGCCGUGAUUAACCACCUAUUAGAGGUCGUGCCUAAUGAGGCCGUGAUGGAUCACCUAUGAGAGGUCGUGCCCAAUAGGGCCGUGAUUAAUCACCUAUUAGAGGUCGUGCCCAGUGAGGCCGUGAUGGACCACCUAUGAGAGGUCGUGCCCAAUAGGGUCGUGAUUAACCACCUAUUAGAGGUCGUGCCUAGUGAGGCCGUGAUGGACCACCAAUGAGAGGUCGUGCCCAAUAGGGCCGUGAUUAAUCACCUAUUAAAGGUCGUGCUCAGUGAGGCCGUGAUGGACCACCUAUGAGAGGUUGUGCCUAAUAGGGCCGUGAUUGACCACCUAUGAGAGGUCGUGCCCAAUAGGGCCGUGAUUGACCACCUAUUAGAGGUCGUGCCCAUCGGGCUGAGAUCUACCACCUAAUUAAAGGUCGUGCCAAGUGGGGCCGUGAUUGCCACUGGUUAUUAAACCUUCCUAUAGGGUCCUGAUUGGAAGCAGUAAUUGAUUUGCUAGAAUGACAUGUAAUUGGCCGAGUCAAUUGAUCGCUAAGACGAUCCAAGUGAUUGAAUUGUUCUGAUAAUGUGAUUGUGCCUCAGUUGUUUGGUUAUCAGAAUUGCACAUUGUUGAAUUAUAUAAAUUGUGCUAACCUGUAGAUAAAGGCUAAUGUGAGGACCGUAGAUGGCGGUACCCCCGGAGAAGAGUGGCAUGCCGACAGAGAUUGACCAGACGACGCAGAGUGCUCCUGACCCUGGAAGUCCUUGGGUCUAUCAGUUGGUUAGGUCCAUUGUCUAGGUCUAGGUGACUGUGGAUGUCAGGGUACCUUAUAUGUUUAGGGCUUGGUUUCGUUUUGGAGUCGAUGGCGUUAGGGUUGGCCCACUGGAUAGUAUGGACAUUCCGUUGGCUGUGAUGAACGCCAUUUUGGGUGAAGGCGUGGCGGAUCUUCCUGACGGUAGAGUGAUCAAUGCAUCGCCCCCAGCCUCUUGGGUGACAGAUCCUAAGGAUGUGGGAUCGUCGAACGAGGCCAACCAAUAGUCUUAGGACUGUUUUUCUUUUUGGCGGACCGAUCCAUGUUGUGUAGACUAACCCUUUUUUAUGCACAUAAGCUUUGACCCAUUUUUGGUGCAUAUAGUCUCUGGAUCCUGUUGGUGUAUAUAAACCCUGGAAUGAUGAUGAUUUAUGAAAGUAUGUUUGUUUGAUUUUGAAUUGAUUUUCCUGUUGUCAUAUCCCGUAUGUUUUUAUCAGGGUUUCUUAGCACAUUCCACAUUCACAUAAUAAUUUAAAAUGGGGCCGGCGACACUACCUGGGAAUGUCGCAUUUACAUGACCAUGGCAGGUUGUUCAAGUGUCUCGGGGUUUGAGGCGUGACAUCCCCGUUUAAGUGGUAUCAGAGCAUGUUUUGUGUAUGGAGUGAUAAGGGCGAUGAGUCAUGGGAUAAUUAGUAGGAAGAACUUUCCAUAUCCUAAUGCACGUGAUUGUUAGUUGUUUGUUAACUUGGUUGGAAUGUUACUCAAAUUCUAAUAUGGUAUUGGAAUUCGCCAAUAGGCGUCUGUAUUGAGCCUGUAGCAUGAGUGACCGAGUGCCGAGAGCUGUUAGGAAGAGAGCAGCAGGUCCCGUGUUUCGAGGUGGGUCUUCGUUGAGGGCCGGUGCCCGUGGUACCCUGGGAGGAGCGCAGGCCAAGACCAGUGCAAAUGGUGCAGCUUUGCCUCCAGACGGUGCAACAGCGUUAGAGGAUUCGAGGUUUAUUGGAAUCAUGCAGAUGCUCGAGGCGAUGGGAGACAGGAUGGAUCAGCAAGCCACUGCUAUAGCCACCGCAUUGAACACCGCCAAUACCACUGCUACUGCCGCCGCACCGGUUGCCGAACCAGAAGAGGAACCCGAUGAAAUUCUACUUGAGGAUGUGGCCGCUGGGAGGCCUAGACAGAAGUUGGUAUAGCAUCAACGUUCACGGGAGCAAGAGACCCCAAAGCUACAGCAUUAUGGAUCCUGGAGUUAGAGAAUGCCUUUGAGUUGCUGUUGUGCACUGAAGCAGAAAAAGUCGUCCUGGCAGCCUAUCAGUUGAGGGGGAUCGCGGCUACAUGGUGAAAGACUAACAAAAGGAUAAUGUUCCCUAAAGGUGUGGUUCUAGAGUGGAAUGCUUUUCUUGAAGUCUUCAAUGAGAAGUACUUUUUUGAUUGUGCCAGAGAGGUGAAAAUGGCGGAGUUUCAGUGCCUUCGUCAAGGUACCAUGUCAGUUGAUCAUUAUGAAGCGAAGUUCACCGAACUGUCGCAGUAUGCCCCUGAGUUGGUCCAGCGACCGUCAGACCGAGCUCGAAGGUUUAGAGAUGGGUUCCGAUCGGAGGUGAGGAGCUUGUUGGUACCACUGGAUUUGAAGGAGUACAAUGACCUCUACAAGCAGGCCCAGCUAAUCGAGAAAGACCAGAAUGAGAGAGCUGUCGCAUUUGGGUCACGGUUUAAUUCAAACAGAGAUGAUAAUCGGUUUGGGAAGAGGCCGAUGCCUGGGGGAAGGUAUCAUGUUCCACCCAACAGGAAGGGUGGAGUGGGGAAGUCGUCAUCGAGCUUCAAUGGAGCAUGUCGUUCGUGUGGAAGGCGACAUGGCUCAGCCCCGUGCCCUCUUAGGACGGGUGCUUGAUAUGAGUGUGGCCAGCAGGGUCACAUUACUAGGGUUUGUCCCAGGAGACAGAUGAGACAACCUCAAUUGCCGCCACCACUGGGUCAGAACAGAGGAUUCGCACCGCAGAUCGUGUCGCCCGGUGGAUUGAACCGACCUCUAGCUCAAGGAAGGACUUAUGCACUCACUAGAGGACAGGCGGAGGAUGCACCUAAUGUGGCCAUAGGUAUGGUCUUGCUGAACGACAAACCUGCUUAUGCUUUAUUUGAUCCCGGAGCUUCGCAUUCGUUUAUAGCUGAAAUAUUUAUUAAGUUGGUAGAAUUAAUUCCUGAAUUGUUGGAGUUUGUGAUUAGCGUAUCUACUCCGUUGAAAGAUAAGGUGUUAGUUACAGUAGGUUGCCUAGGUUGCAAGCUAGUGAUUGGUGAGCGAGAGGGGAGGAUAGAUUUGAUAGUCCUAGCCAUGUAUAAUUUUGAUGUGAUAAUUGGCAUGGACUGGCUCACCAAGCAACGAGCUAAGAUGGACUGUUAUCGCAAGGCGAUUUAGUUUAACCCAUUAGAGGGUGAGAGUUUCGAAUUCAAUUGGAGUCGAGGAGGACCCUCGGUUUCCUUAAUCUCAUUGCUCGAGGCAACUCGCUUGCUAGGCAAGGGUUGCCAAGGUUACCUGGCGACUAUCGUGGACAUGAUAGUAGAGGAGUCGAAGAUAGAAGACAUUCCAGUGGUGCGAGAGUUCCUAGAUGUGUUCCCGAAAGAAUUACUAGGUUUGUUGCCAAAAAGAGAGAUAGAGUUUGUAAUUGAGUUAGCUCUCGGGACCGAGCCUAUCUCCAAAGCUCCUUACCGGAUGGCCUUGUCAAAGCUUAAGGAACUAAAGGUGCAAAUGCAAGAGUUGUUGGAUAAAUGAUUUAUACGUCCAAGUGCAUCACCUUGGGGAGCAUCGGUGUUGUUUGUGAAGAAGAAUGAUGGUUCAUUACGCUUGUGCAUCGACUACCGACAGCUCAACCAGGUGACAAUUAACAACAAGUAUCCGUUGCCAAGGAUUGAUGAUUUGUUUGAUCAACUUCAAGGAGUGUCGAUAUUUUCUAAGAUCGACUUGAGGACGGGAUAUCAUCAGCUAAGAAUCAAGAAGGAAGAUAUACCGAAGUCGGUGUUUCGCACUCGAUACGGCCAUUACAAGUUUACCGUGAUGCCGUUUGGGCUGACGAACGCCCCGACUGCUUUCAUGGACCUAAUGAACCGGGUGUUCAGAGAGUAUUUAGAUCAGUUCGUAAUUGUCUUCAUCGACGACAUCCUGGUGUAUUCAAGGAGUACUAAGGAUCAUGAAAGGCACUUAAGAAUAGUGCUUUAGACUUUGAGAGAUCACGAGUUGUACGCUAAGUUCAGUAAGUGCGAGUUUUGGCUAACUCGUGUGGCUUUCCUAGGUCAUGUUAUCUCUGGAGAAGGAAUCUCAGUGGACCCAGCCAAGAUUGAAGCAGUGAUCAACUGGCCGAGACCUACUACAGUGACAUAAAUAAGAAGUUUUCUGGGUUUAGCAGGGUAUUACAGACAGUUUGUAGAAGGGUUUCCAAUGUUAGCAUCGCCGAUGACGAGACUGCUGAAGAAGGAAGAAAAGUUUGUAUGGUUAAAUAAGUGCGAGUGUAGUUUCCAAGAGCUCAAGCAAAAGCUAACUAGUGCACCUAUACUUACUAUUCCAUCUAGUCCAGGAGGAUUUGAAAUCUACAGCGAUGCGUCGUUUAAAGGAUUAGGUUGCAUAUUGAUGUAGCAUGGUAGGGUUGUUGCGUAUGCGUCCCGUUAGUUGAGACCUCAUGAGUUGAAUUAUCCGACGCAUGACUUAGAACUUGCAGCGAUCAUCUUUGCCCUUAAGAUUUGGAGGCACUACCUGUGCGGAGAAAGAUUCCAAAUCUUCACUGACCACCAGAGUCUUAAGUACUUAUUCUCUCAGAAGGAGUUGAAUAUGAGACAGCGCCGAUGGAUGGAACUCCUAAAGGACUAUGACUAUGAGAUUUUGUAUCAUCCCGGAAGGGCGAACAAGGUCGCCGAUGCAUUGAGCAGGAAGUCUUCAGUUGCACAUAUGGUACUCAAGGAAUGGAGUCUACUUGAGGGAGCACGAGAUUCGAGUUUCAAGUUUGAAGUAUGCCACCUUUCGAACCUUAUGGCCACCCUCAGAAUUGAGCCAGAAGUUCAGGUCAGGAUCAGGACACUUCAGCAGACAGAUCCGAAUAUUUAGAAAAUCGUACAAGAGGAUACAAAGAAGAGGAAAGCUGACUUCCAGAUUUCUGAUAAUGGAACGUUGAGGUUCCAAGGACGGUUGGUUGUACCCCGCGAUGUGGAGCUUAGGGAGGAGAUUUUAUCAGAAGCGCAUCGUAACAGUUACAACAUUCAUCCUGGUAGUACCAAGAUAUAUCAGAAUCUGCGUCAACACUAUUGGUGGUGUGGCAUGAAGGCGGAUAUCGCCAAACAUGUCGCCAAGUGUUUGACGUGUCAGCAAGUGAAAGCCCAGCAUUGCAAACCGAGAGGACUUCUGCAACCCCUUGAGAUCCCAGAAUGGAAAUGGGAGCAUAUCACGAUGGGCUUCGUGACGGGACUACCGAGGAGCUAGAGAGGAAAUGAUUCGAUUUGGGUAAUAGUUGACAGAUUGACAAAAUCGGCUCACUUCAUUGCAAUUUGAAGGGACUUGAGUUUGGAUAGACUCGCAGAUCUGUAUGUACGUUAGGUAAUUCGUAUGCAUAGAGUGCCGGUCACAAUUACUUCAGAUAGAGACCUGAGGUUCACUGCCGCUUUUUGGAAGAGUUUGCAAUCCGCUUUAGGAACGAAGCUGCAGUACAGUACGGCCUAUCACCCGCAGACUGAUGGCCAGUCUGAGAGGACAAUUCAGACUCUUGAGGACAUGCUGCGAGCUUGUGUCUUAGACUUCAAAGGAAGUUGGGAGGAACAGCUUCAUCUGGUUGAGUUUGCCUACAACAACAGUUAUUGGCAGAGUAUUCAGAUGGCUCCUUUUGAAGCGUUGUAUGGUAGAGCAUGCAGAACGCCAGUGUAUUGGGAUGAGAUCGGAGAAAGAAAGAUCACCGGUCCAGAGUUAGUACAGCAGUCAGUGGAAGCAGUUGCAGUUAUCAGAGACAAACUAAAGACUGUUCAGAGUCGACAGAAAAGUUAUGCCGAUAAUCGUCGGAGGCCAUUGGAAUUCCAAGUUGGUAAGCACGUCUUCUUGAAGGUGUCAUCGGUGAGAGGUACUUCCCGCUUUGGCAAAAAGGGGAAACUAAGUUCGAGGUACGUAGGUCUCUUCGAGAUUUUGGAAAGAAUAGGGACUCUAGCGUAUCAUCUUGCACUGCCGCCGAAGUUGUCACAGGUGCACAACGUCUUUCACGUGUCGAUGUUGAGGAAAUAUGAACCUGACCCGACUCACGUUCUAAAUUUCGAGGAAUUAAACGUGGACAACAAAGUGUCGUACGUUGAAAACUCGAUUCAGAUUGUGGAUCACAAAGAGCAAGUUCUGCGCACUAGGACCAUCCCAAUGGUCAAAGUGAUCUGGCAACACCAUGGCACUAAAGGAGCAACCUAAGAGACCGAAGAAUCAAUAAAAAAAUUGUACCCCUACCUUCUUGUUUAAAGAUCUGUAAUGGUUUAAAUUUCGAGGACAAAAUUUUUAUAAGAGAGGAAGAGUUGUGACAUUCCAAUUUUUCUCAAUUUUAUUUUCAGUUAAUUGAGUCGGGCAAUUCAUCUGUGCGUGUAGUUUGUCUCUCAGAGUUGGCCACUCACGAGGGAACUAGUCUAUUGAGUGAAGCAAUUAAGGAAUUUUAAUGCGUCAGACUUGGGGACUGAUCACCCUCGGGUCGGAUGCAAGAAAAUUUCCCCAAAAGCUACUCAGUGGAUUAGGCGCGCUGAAAUCGCACCAGAGUGAAUUCAACCGUAAAAAUUGGGAUUGAAUUUAGAAGUUGGAAGCCCGGUUAUGUCACACAUCUUAUUAGGAUGAUGGGAUAAUUUUGUGGAUUUUAAUUGAAUUCAAUUAGAAGAGAAUUGAAAGAAAAAUUGAAGAAAUUGGAUGUGCAAAGAUUUGGACCCCUGCGGAAAUGAUAUUGCACCCAUUGAAGAAUGUUGCGGGAGAGGAGAUAGUGGAAGAUGACAUCAUGGGGGUGAUGUCAUGCUAAUUGAAGCCAAGGAUUGAGGGCUUGACAAGUGGAGGGUGGAGAUUUAAUCUCCAAAAAGGGGGCCAUCACCAUCAUCUUCAACCUUGGGAAGGAGAGAGAGAGAACUGGCGAAGGGGAGCUCACCCGUCGACCAGCCUGCCCGCGCACGCCACUCCUCCGCCGUUCGUGGCCGUCGUGCAGUGCCGUCGUUGCCGUCCCGCGCGACCGCGCGUCGCCCUGCGCCCACGUGCCCGUGCUCCAUCGACACCGCCUCAGCCAUGCUCCAUCCCAUCGGCCCAGCCACCCCAACCGCCAUUCGACCUCGCUGUAGCCUCCUUCACCAUUGCCGUUGAGCCAGCUGAGCCGCCGCCUCUUCCUCCGCCCGUUUCGCACACCCACACCUCCCCGUCGCGCCUCCUUCCGGCCCAGUUCAGCUGCUCCAUUUGUGGGUAUCUUAGCCCCUUUUAGGCUCGCUUUAGCUAUCUUCCCAGCCCCAGAAGCUUGGCCCGCCUUUGGAAAAGUCAAUCUCGGCAUCGCUCUCGUCGUUUUGGUCCAAGUGGCAAGUUAAUCAAGUGAGUUUACCUCACUAAACCCUAAUUAGAGUGUUAAUAAUACCCUAAGUAUGUUUAGUUUGAAUUAAGUGAAUUUAGGUGGGUAGAUUAAUAUAUUUAAUUAUAAGUUGGGUUAAGAGAUUGGUUUAUAUUAAAGUAUGUUUUAAUUAAGGUGAAAAGAGGUUAUUUAAUGUUAAGGCUUGAUGGGAUAUAAUAGGAUUUUAGUUUUGAAUUAUUUAAUUGCUUCAAAAUUCUGGAUAAUAUAAUAUUAUAUUAUAAUCCGAAAUUAUUUAAAUAUUAUUAAAAAAAUGGAAAAAUUAUUUUUGACCUUGGUUGCUCAAAAUUUCGUGCCAAUCGCUACCGUGCAUUUAGAAUUUGAAAUUGAUGAUUGAUUGUGGCAAAUUGAGUGUGAUUGCGAUAAAUAGGAAUUUUUUUUUAUAAAAUCCUAAGUGUGGAAAUUGAUGGGAGAUUGGCCGUGAUUGACCACCUAUUAGAGAUCGUGCCCAAUAGGGUCGUGAUUAACCACCUAUUAGAGGUCGUGCCCAGUGAGGCUGUGAUGGACCAUCUAUGAGAGGUCGUGCCUAAUAGAGCCAUGAUUAACCACCUAUUAGAGGUCGUGCCCAGUGAAGCCGUGAUGGACCACCUAUGAGAGGUCGUGCCCAAUAGGGCCGUGAUUAACCACCUAUUAGAGGUCGUGCCCAGUGAGGCCGUGAUGGACCACUUAUGAGAGGUUGUGCCCAAUAGGGCCGUAAUUAAUCACCUAUUAGAGGUCGUGUCUAGUGAGGCAGUGAUGGACCACCUAUGAGAGAUCGUGCCCAAUAGGACCGUGAUUAAUCACCUAUUAGAGGUCGUGUUCAGUGAGGCCGUGAUGGACCACCUAUGAGAGGUCGUGCCCAAUAGGGCCGUGAUUAACCACCUAUUAGAGGUUGUGCCUAGUGAGGCCAUGAUGGACCAUCUAUGAGAGGUCGUGCUUAAUAAGGCCGUGAUUGACCACCUAUGAGAGGUCGUGCCCAAUAGGGCCGUGACUGACCACUUAUUAGAGGUCGUGCCCAUCGGGCCGAGAUCUACCACCUAAUUAAAGGUCGUGUCGAAUGGGGUCGUGAUUUGAAGCAAUAAUUGAUUUGCUAGAAUGACAUGUAAUCGGCCGAGUCGAUUGAUCGCUGAGACGAUCCAAGUGAUUGAAUUGUUCUGAUAAUGUGAUUGUGCCUCAGUUAUUUGGUUAUCAGAAUUGCACGUGGUUGAAUUAUAUAAACUGUGCUAACCUGCAGAUGAAGGCUAGCUCGUGUCCAGACUCAUAAAAGAUUAGCAAGUGACAUUCAAACAUGACAAAAGGGACGGCUAAUUUAAACCGAGUGUGAUCGUGGACCAGGGGAAACGAGACCCUACUAUCGUGUUGGCUCCGUCUUAAAUAAAGCCAAGCAACAGAGUUCCCAGAGACAUGUGUUUGACCGCGGAUGUCCGUACCCCAUGGCCGAACGCUACCUUUUUUUCAUCAGUCCCCGUCCAGCACCCCCUUCUCUCUGCCAAAUCAGCCGCGCUCUUCUCAGCCGAAUCUUUUUUUGUUAGGUCUCUCUCUUUGCUCACUUCACUUGCUCGUCUCUCCUCUCAGCCGAAUCAUUUUGAAUUAUUUUCUUUUAUAUCGUGGCCCUUCCAGGCCGGCGGCCACGCAUGGUAUGUAAACUUUUUCAAAGUUGCAGAGCAGUCAUGUAACGGUGCGAAAGUUAGAGGGCUUUUGAGAAAUUAUCCACAAAAUUAAGAGCAAAAAAAGGGGAAUUAAAAGGAAAAUCCAAAAAAGAACGCAAGAAAAAACCCCUUCCCCGCGCUUUCUCAUACCCUAAUCGAUCUUGGUCCUCGGCAAGACCUUAAACUGCAGCGCUCCGGGGGGGACAACCCCGAUAACAAGGCCCCGCGCGGGCGGGUAAUCCCGUGCCUCCCCACCAUGGGGGCCCUGAAGGCCAUACGAGGGGUAGUCCCUUUCCUGGGGACGAAAAAGAUUCAGGUUGGGGGUAAAAGUCCAGACCCCUGGAAAAAACAGGAGAACCUGGCGUCGGACCUGAGCAGGUCCUUAAAAGGCUCAAGGGGGGCCACCCCGACAGGAGGAAUAACCUCCCAGGGGUGAGAGACCCCGCGUCGGGGCCCCCUAUUCCCGUGGGAGGGAAGAAAAAAUAAAACUACCCCCACUGCCUCGCCCGCCACAGCUCUGGAACCCAGAAGGGUAAAGGAGAGGGAUGGCACACGGUAAGGGUAGAACGGCAGCCCUCUCGGUAGCCGAACCCAGGCCCGAGACAGGACCUAGUAGCCCAAUGACCCGUGCCAGAAAGGAAACUUUCUGGGUGGCGGCGGGCGGCUUCGGAAAAAGUUCACUCCCGUCAAUUUUCCCCAAGUCGCUCCUCCUUCAUCCUCGUCCAAGAAGGAAGAAAGGAAAUGAUGAACGUGUUCAUGCCGAGGAACUUGGUGCCUCCCGAGCUGUUGGACGCGCUCCACGACGCGCUCAAGCUGAACGGAGCUGUUUCUUCCAGGGGUGGGCCCCGCGAAUUUCACGCGUUUCUUCUCCCGAUCCCGUGAGUACGUUGGGAUUGGGCGGCGCUAAGGCUUUUAGGUUCAUUUUUGAGAAUCGGGUUUGAGGUUGUUUUACGUCUUGAGAAGUUCGAGGAUCUUCAGGCGAAAGGGUGGAAGCUAGUCGGCAAAGAUCUUGUUCUCGUCCUAGUUUUAUCUUUUGGUUUUUAACUCGAGGCUGCUAAAUGCUAAACCAGAACUUGUAGUUGAGAAACGAAAGCGGAAGCAUUGGGGUCAACGUGCUGGUCAAGCAAGUCGAGAGGAGUUCUUCUGCCUGGGAAAAAAAAGGUCGAUUUCGAUGGGGGAUAUUUCGGUUUCUUGCAGGUCCGCAGUGUGUGGUUUCGUGUGCGAAAGAAGGGAGACCUCUACCUCGAAAAGGGUAUACUUGUUUGUCUUGCGAUGGAUGGUGUCGAAGUCCUUGCAUCUAGAUUUGAGAUGGAUGAGAAAGCAUGCCUGUUCCUAGAUAAGCCUGGCCUUGUAUAAUUUUUUAGGGUGUAAUCUUUGUCAUUACUCGUCUCUCGAAUUCAGUGUGGCACGACACUUAUCCUUAUCCAUGUAUCCUUCUAUGUGACCCCUUGAUUCUUUUGCCUUCAGACAUGCUUUUGUCUGAACAAAUAUGGUGGCAGCCUGUCAUCUCUCUUAUUGUUUCACCAUAUACGUGAAUCCGCUGGCUGAGAUUGAGAAAUUGGUUACUUCAACGGGGGGAGUUCUACAGACCAAAACUUCAGCAAUGUUAGCUUCGUAAUUGCAAAGAAUAUUUUGGCUGCAAAAUGCAAGGUUUAAGUCUUGGAGUUAAUAAUUUGAAUUUAGUUUAAGAGUUGCGAAUUUGUUGUAUCUUGUUAAGGUUAAAUCACCUUAGAUGAGAUUCAUUAUGCUUUUUCACUAAGUAUGGGAAGUAUCGUGGGUAGUACUCUCAUUGAGUUGGCUGAACUAAAGAAGAGUUUCCUCCAUAUUUUUUUGAAUAUUCCCUGUGCAAAGUCUUUUAUGAAUUUCAUCUUGAAAGAUAAAUUGUAUUUAUCAAUUAAUGUUGUCAUCGUGCAAUGGGCUUUAAAUGUUCUGAAGAAACCUGUUGUCGCCAUUAAUUGUUAUACCAAUGUUGUGUUGUGCACCGUGUUUUACCUCAGGAGUCUUACGAAGUUCUUCCAUUUUCUGGAUCGACAAUGUGUGUCACAGGAAUUUCUGCACAUACUGAUUAUUUGAUAUAGCUGCUGCUGUUGGUUGUCCUCCAGUUCUUCAAUUUUGAUGUCCUUCAUUAUCUUAGAUGCACAGAAGGAGAUUCAGAAGCAUAAAACAAAAUGGUGGGAAAUAUUCUGCAGAAUUGACCAGGAAGUGCACUCAUUUAAUUGCAGAAAUAACUUUUUCUUCUUCAAGAUUAAAGUCCAGUUAUUUGCUUGCAUAUUUUACCUUUGAUAUCUGAUCGCCGUGUGAAAAUGCACAUAUCUUUAUCUUGUCUUCGCAUAUGAAAAGACUUUUAAGAGUUUGAAAAGAAAAUCUGUAUCAUUUCAAGGUUUAGUGACGAUUUUAAUUUGAAAUAGGAAAUAGCUAUACUUGAUUUAAUCCUGGUUUUUGGUAUUAUCCUUUUACUUGGGAAUUUGAUUACUCAGAUGAGAAACAGUGAAACUUCCCGGCAUGAGAAUAUCAUUGACUUUGACUUCUAAAUCAGUCCUAAAGAAUUGUGUUCUGUGGUUCAAGGAAACAAGGUGUUAAACAACCUACAAUUUGAACUGCCACUUGUUAAAAGAUCCUCAGCCAGUUUUCGCUUUUCCAGUGUGAGUUAGGACUGCCUGUUGGUUGCUCAAAACACAUUGCUCAGCAAUGUUAUUACCAUUGAAUCUUUCUAUUGGCCUCAUAUAUGAUGCUCUGCAACACUGUGAGUCCCACUACGAUGCCCUUGACUGGCUGUAAGCUCCAGAAGAUAAAUACAAGGUUGCUAAAAGAUGGGGUCACAUUCAUAUUUUGAAUCGCAAAUGGUUUGAUCAAUUAACUUCCGGGAAAGGUGAUAUUUCAGUACUAAAAUACCUUGUUGCUGUCAACUGUAGGAACAUUUAAGUUCUUUUGAGCCAUCUUGUUGUCUGCUCUAAUUUUGAGUUCUUUGCCGACUAGCAUCUCUUAAUGAGGAGNNNNNNNNNNNNNNNNNNNNNNNNNNNNNNNNNNNNNNNNNNNNNNNNNNNNNNNNNNNNNNNNNNNNNNNNNNNNNNNNNNNNNNNNNNNNNNNNNNNNGUAGUCAGCAAAAUCAGUAGAGUUAUUAGAAGUUCACAGUCUCUCCCUCUCAAUGGUUGGAGAUCAGGACUUCCAUUCCAUUUCAGCUACUGACCAUGCCAAACCAGAUUUAGAAACUACUCUCUCACAGAAUGUGUCUUCAAUGUUUGUGGAUCCCCAUUUCCUUGCAAAAGAGGAUAAUAGUGAAGUGGCAGCUGUGCAAUCCAAUGGUGAAGUGAAUCAUGAUUGUUGGGUUGCUGAAGACUGAAAAUGAAGACAAUGACCUGUAUUUGUCAGAAUGUAGGUUAACAUCAUCAAAUGCUCGAUUUCCCCAAGAGUGUUCCUAAAAGAAGUGAUCUGAAACUACCAUUCAAAGUUGGCUUGAAGAUACAAAACUUGGUGAUCUGAUUUUGAAGGCAGUGGUGCCUUAAAUAGUUCUGCUUGACACAUAUGAUGACUGACUAAAGAUUAUAUCAUCGUACACUGCUUUCUCUCGUUUCAUUAUGAUUCUCCGUGCUCUUCAUGUGAACAAUGGGAAUGCUGAAAUGUUAGUAUUGCCUAAUAGGACAGUAGCUGCUGAUUCACAUGACAUUUGGCUGUCUUUCACAUAUGAUUAGUGGCUGAAGGCUGCGAUCCUUUAAAUGGCUUUGUCAGCUUGCAACUCUCCAAUUUGAGGAUACCACACACUUCAUGACAUGGGUGGCCAAUUUUGCCGAAUGAAAUCAUUGUGUUUACAUGUUAGAAGAUGACGUAUGACUAUAGUUAAUCUGUGCUAAAGACAAUCUUUCAGCUCUUCCCGCUAAUAGCAUGCAUAUAGUUUCCAGGAUGGCAUAUGCUUGUAAGUAAUAAACGGUUUCAUAUGGUUUUCUUCUGGAUCUCAUUCCUGCAUUUGCUGCUGACCUUGCAAUCUUUUGGCUGGUGAAGGUAAAGGAUCUUUUUUCUCUUCAUGUGUUGAUCCUUUGCUUUUGUUUAUUGUGCAGCAGAACCCAGGAUUUUUAAACUCGUUUUGAAAUCUUAUAUUUGUUGGUACGGGUGUCACUGAAUUUAUUCUUUUUUGUUCUUUUGUGUUUUGGGCCACUGAUGUCUUAUCCCGGUCAAUGGAUGAAAGAGGGAAGGGUCAAAGAGCCAAUAGUAUUCAUUUAUCCUAGUAUUGCUCCGGAAGACACUUGGUAGAGCACCGACGUACCUUUGAUUUAUGUAGUUUCUAUGCAAUAAAAGCCGAUAAAAUCAGAUUUUUCCAGAUCAGUCUAACGGUCCGUUAUAUGUUCAAGUUUGAUCCUCAGCAGAAGGCAAAAAUCUUGUUAGUUUUUCAUGUUACUCCUUUUAAUAGCACUCUUGUACUAUUGUUCCCUUGGAUCAAUGAAAAUAAUUGGACUAACGUGGAUUCAAUAAACUCACCAUGAGCGGAGCAAGCAUGAGAGAAGAAAACACAUAUUGAUGUAUAUUCCAAGCAACCCAUAGCUUGACAAAUCAAUGUCAGCCCUCUUCAAACCUUUCGUGAGGCUAGCAAUUGAAUGCAUCGCAUAUUCUUGUGUUCACAUUCAUGUAUCAUGAGGCUAGCAAUUGAAUGCAUCGCAUAUUCUUGUGUUCACAUUCAUGUAUCAUGAGGCUAGCAAUUGAAUGCAUCGCAUAUUCUCGUGUUCACAUUGAUGUAUCAUGACUUAUAUUAGGUCACUCCUUUUCAUUUCAAGGGAAAAAAGAAAAAAAAAUGUAUAGUUAUAGAGCAGCAAAUGCAUAGAUAAAUAAGAGUUACUUGGAGUUAAUAAUCAAAAUGAAAAGUUCAAUGCAUAUCAAAUUUACAACAAGCAUCAAAAUUUCUUAAAAUAUCUAUGAAAAACUAUGAGAACCCUAUAUCAAGUCUUACUAGAAAACACAAGUAGCCACACUUUCGUCCAAAAGCUCCAAAUUAUGAUUAGCAUUGUCCGUUGCGUCACUUAUAAAUUAAUCUUAUGCAACAUUUCCACAAUAAAGACCGGUCUCUUGUCUCGCUGUGAGCAUAACCUAAGUGUUUGUAAUUAUGAUGUCCCCUAGNNNNNNNNNNNNNNNNNNNNNNNNNNNNNNNNNNNNNNNNNNNNNNNNNNNNNNNNNNNNNNNNNNNNNNNNNNNNNNNNNNNNNNNNNNNNNNNNNNNNAGAAGAAGAAUCACAGAAUCACUCCAAAGUUGACGUUGACUACAGUCUUUUAUUAUUUAUAAUUUUUGAGUAGGUUUGUCCGCAUUUGCCUUGUCCCUUUCUUUGGUCAAAAGAGGACUUGGGAAAUGCAAUGAAGCGAGCAAGAUGAAGGAUGACUUUGACUUGCUUUCCCUCGCCUGAUGCUAUAAAAUAUGAUUAGCUAACAAUCAUGAUUUGGAAGUUGUAUGCUUUCCACAUAAAUAACCAACCGAGAUUGAUUUAAAUAUGAGUAUACAUCACCUCCUUCAUUACCUUCUUUUAAAUAUAAUUUUAGCAAGCUGCAAAUUUAAAAUAUGAAAUGAAAUAUAUCAAGCUGCUCUGAUUACAUCAUAAUUAUAUAAAAAAAAUUAUUACAAUUUUGUGAUUCAAUCCAUUAUUAAGUCGUAGUAUGGGUGAAAAUUGAAAACUAUCCGCUAGAACCGCAUUCAAUUUUUUACGCAAAUCUUCUUUGGUUCCGACAUCCAAUGACCCAGCAACACUAUGGAAGACAGAGACCGUGUUUUCUCAUUUUCACACGUGCAAAAACCAAAGAUAUUUGCAAUCCAUUUUACUUGCCAUAAACCAAAGUAAAACGUCUGUUUCAAAUUUCCCUCUCCUAGUUUUAAACAUUCAAGCUCUUUGACAUUAAGGGUGUGUUUGUCUUGUGAAAAAUGAAUUUGACAAACAUUUCCACUAAAACCGCUAACAAUAACGAAUGAGCAAAAGAUACCUUUAUGACUCACGAAAAUGUUUAGACCUAAUUUUUUGUCGAUAAUGACUAUUUCAAUGCCUCCAACGGUGAGAGGCUUUUAUUUCAAUAGGAAGGGAAAGCAAAAUGUUGUCCAUCUUCACUUUGAUUUGUGCGGCCAUGUGAUUCCACUACAAAGAGAACUAACACAAGGUGGGGGUUCGUUUGUAAAAAUAGUAAAUUUUCUCAUUGAGGACACGCAAAUCCAUGGUAAGAUUGUGUGUGUCCCUAGCACAUUGCACUCACUUUUCGAGACAAGAGAAGAAGUAAUUUUCAAUAUGAACACCUUGCAAAAGUUCCCAAGUAAAGGAGAUAAUUUCUUUUGACAAAAAAAGAAAAAAAAAAAAGAAAGAAAAGGAGAUGAUUCCGGGGCUGUUGAGGACUAGCAUCGUGUAAAAAAGUUAAUUUCCACUAUGAUUUACUUGGCCACAGAAUAUAAUAACAAAAAGAAUUAAUAAGUGAAGUCUAUAGGGGGUCGUCUUGCCAAUUUCGAGGAAAGGAUUGUUCUGGUAGUCUUGGUCAAAAAGGCAGGAAUCAAAAGAAGUAAAUAAUUGCCUCGUCCAAGAAACGCAAUCCACCACAAGUUGUCUCUACUUCUAGAUCUGAAGCACAUCGAAUCCUCUACCAGAGCGAGAGCUUCAGCUUGAAUCGGCGGAGGAAGCAAGGGAUCUUCUUUCUCGUGAAUCCAUCGAGCGGUACGCCUGAGGCCGUCGCGAAGAGCACCUGCAAUCGCUCCUUCCGAACCACCGGCUCAAAGAACCCCAUCGAUAGUUGUCUUGAGGGACGGGGUUUUCGGCGGGCAUCCAUUAACAGGUAAAAUCGACUCGAAUCGCGUCGAGUUUCCAACUUUUUAGUGUUCCGCUCGCUAUAAUUUCCGAUCGUGGACUCCGCUGAGGCGAUUAGGGUUCCUGGGUUUGGUGGCGCGGUCUUUGCUGGGAACACGAGGGUUGUUUCUGGGAUCUCCAGAUAUACCAGAGAAGAGCUGCAAUUUAAUCGAGAGAUAGUAAGUUCCUUGCAUGUUGUUGGUGAUUUUGUAGCCACUACUCGUCCUUUCUCGUGAUGUUCUGACCUGAGAUGAUCUGCAAAUUUACCUCGGCGUAUCUCCAAACGAAGCCGGUCCAGGUCGAGGCGUGAAGGUGAUCCUCGGGAUUGUGCUGCCUUUCGGAACUCAGACACAACUCGAUCUGCUUCGAGGCGACUUCUUCUCAAAAACUGACGCCUAUCACAGUGAUUUCAUCUCUGAAUACCCCCUUCUGGAGGUAAGUCCGACCUUCGUCCUCCGGUCUAUUGCAAUUGAUAGGACAAAAAUACAUUUGAUUAUUACUCACUGCUUUAUCGCCUAACAUCCUCAAAGGCCUACGGAAUAAUACAUGUGAAAUUCCCUUGGGACAAAAAGCCCGUUCGAUUAAAAUUACGAGAAUACCCUUCUAAACCCGAUUUUGUGUCCGUUGGUCCUAUGUUCACCCUAAUUGUCCAAAAUUACUUGUUUUUUUUGGUCGGAGCCAACAGUACUUAAAGCCUGAAACAUCCAAAAUACUCAAUUUUUGCAGAAAUAAUUCUUCUUUUUUCCUUGAAUACAUUUAAAAACUAGAUUUUUUCCAAAUAUCGAUCGUGCUGGUCUAUUCUCUUCAAGAGUCGCACAAAACCUUUCAAAGGGUGUGGAUCAGAAUUGUCAACAACAAAAAUUUAUCUGAACCGAUCAGGUCAACUAGAGAAUUUUUAAAUGUCCAUAAAACCAUUUUCCCUUAUAUUGGCAAUUUUUGUAAUUUCUAGAAAAUGACAAAAAAUUCAAAUGUUUUCCGGAAAUUAUGAAAAAUUCACAAUUGCACUAUUUUUUUGUGCUGGUUACAAUGGAAAUUUGAAAGUGAGCGAAGCUGCUGGUUUCAAUGAGCUUACACAUAUUUGUGGACAAUUUUUAGGUGGACUUUAUCUUAGCGGAUUGAAUUAGAGAAACUUGUCAUAAAGUGUGGUUUUCAUGCGAUUUUACUGCUUUCAACAAAGACUUUUACGUAUAUAUAGUGUAGAAAAUUACUGACCUAUGAUAGAUUUGACGAUAUGAUUUAUGCAUAUUUAGGGUGGAAGGGAAAUGUAGCAUUUACAGAGUAAGAACGACUUUGACAUAAAAUUCACAAGCCGAUUAGAGCCACAUUUAUCUGUUUAACAAAAUGUUUUAUAAGUAGAUAUGAACAGAAGUGGGCAUUCCGUACUCGGGUCCAAAUUGCGUGACUUGACUUGGCUUGCCAUUUGAAAACAAUUUAAUUGCUACCAGUCAAUCAGCCUAUCGUCUACUACUCAUUAGUCCUCUCUCUCUCUCUCUCCCUCUCUCCCUCUCUCAUUUCUUACUUUUAUGUUUCACAUUUGGCCUCUCUCUUGCACUCUCUUGCAGAACAAUUCGAGAUUAUCAUCUACUGAUUAGUCCUCACUCUCUGUCUGUUCUUUCCCUCUUAGAAGUUCUUGCCCAGACUUGUUUAGGGUCUUCUCUCGCCGAUCUCACGCCUCCCUCUGCAUCUCAACUCACGAAAGGUAAUCACUUUUUCAUCCCUUAUUAGCAUGUCGUUUCUAUUGAUUCGUCGCUUUAUUAUUGAAAUGAUAGGCCGAACUAGUAUGUUCUGGGCCCUUUUGGUCUAUUGGGGAUGUGGUGGUGGCUGCUGAAUUGCAGAGGAUGGCCUUUUAUUCUUUCUUUUGGAGUCGCUGUUACCUCCUAACGAGGAAUGUCCCCAGCUCCGAUUUGACUUCGAUGAAAAUAGAAAGCCUUUGUUCUCAACUUUAGAUGUGGCUAAUCCUAUGAUGGCCUUAUUGCCUCAUUGUUAGUUGCAUUGUGAUUCAGUAUUGAGCAUUUGUUGAACUAGAACGAGUAGGUUUGGAAAUGCGCUAGACUCUAUUGCGUGCAAAAUUGCCAUGUUUCGCUCGAAUCCAGAGACCAAUUUUUUUUUUUAUUCAUUGUGAGGCUUCUCUGUGUUUAAGGGUCCUCGAUCAAUUUAUAGAAAAAAAAAUAGUUGGGUGGUUCUGGGGUCAACUAGUUUGGUUCUCGGUUACAAUAAUGGAGACCGAUAUUAAAGAAUAAGUUCGUGAUUCUAAUUAAGAAUCUAGUCAUCUUGAAACCGAUCAUCCUAAGAGUAAGUCNNNNNNNNNNNNNNNNNNNNNNNNNNNNNNNNNNNNNNNNNNNNNNNNNNNNNNNNNNNNNNNNNNNNNNNNNNNNNNNNNNNNNNNNNNNNNNNNNNNNUGAGUAAUAUUCUAUUUUCCUUGAUUGUUGGACCAUUAAUCCUAGAAAAAAAAAAUCUAGUUGAUCUUUUGACACAAAUGAAAUCAAUCAAAUAAAUUGAGCCAUACGCGCAUAUUAGGAGAUUCACUUAGCUUUAUAUCACUAAUUUCUUACACCUCUCUGCGGUGAUAUUCUCAAGAUGGGCCCUCCACAAAAAUGGGGACAAGCACUCAACGCCAUUCUCAAGGUGGUCGACUCUGAAUUUUCCGCAGCAGCUUCCUCUUACUUCCUUCUCUUCUUCUCCUUCUUCCAUCGAAUCCGUACCUAAUUUCUAAUCAUUCAGACUAACAUGGAGAAAGAAAAGAGCGCUAUAGCUCUAAUUCCAUAGACAAGAUAUUGGAUUUGAAAAUUUGAAACAAAAGGCUCGGUGAUAACAUGCCACUAUAAAAUCAUUUUACAUAGAACUGGAGAAUGCGGUGCCGGCAUGAAAUAGAUAAAAGAUAAAUAGCCAAGAGCAUUUUUGUUUGUCUCUACCUCUCCUUUCCAACUUCAUUAAGAAUAUGACCAUUUUAAACAUAAUUAAAAUAUAAAAUCACAUCCACAAUUACUAGCUUGGUUCUUUCUCAAUGUCUUCCACGCAUUUCUAAUUUUGUUCCAACUCAAUUAUUGUCUUUUGAAUGAUUUAUCAAAUUCUGAUUUUCAAUAACCAAAAAAAAAAAAAACCAAACAUAUGCUUAUAAUUUUAAUUGAAUAUAAUAUACUCGUGCACAGAUUAUAGUUCUUUAUAGCCCAAUUGAAAAAUUAAUGAACACAUCACUCGUGAGUUAAUCAAGCCAACAAGUUUGACUUGAAUAGUGUGAGGUCCAAAAGAAGACAAGACGAGGUCUAAAAACAUCUGCAACUGCUCGUAGUCAAUCAAUUACCAAUUAAUUAAAGAUUUCAUGUUGGUUUUUUCUUGCGUGGUAACAUUCAUGUUCAUUCUUGUUCGUAGAGAUUAGUUCAUCGAUACUUUUAUGCAGCAUAAAAGCAUCUUUCAUUUUCUUUUUAACUUUAAAUUCACCAAAUUCAUAAUUCAAAUGGCUUCGGAAAUUAUGAAAAAUUCACAAUAUUACCAUUUUUUGUGCUGGUUACAAUGGAAAACUUGAAAGUGAGCAAAGCUGCCGCUUUCAACGUACUUGCACAUAUUUAAUAUGUGGACAAUUUUUAGGUGGACUUUAUCUUUGUAGAUUGAAUUAGAGAAACUCAUCAACGUACUUGCAAACAAUUUGAGACUAUUGUCUACUGAUUAGUCCUCACUCGCUUUCUCUGUUCUUUAUCCCUCUUGAAAGUUCUCGAUGGAUUUGACAGUAUGAUCUAUCCAUGUUUAGGGUGGGAGGAGAAUGUAGCAUUUACAGGAGUAAGAACGUCUUUGAAAAUAAUAUAAUGGAAGAUUCACAUGUCGGUUAGAGCCACGAUUAUCAGUUUAACAAAGUAGUUUCUAAGUAGAUAUGAAUAGAAGUGGUCAUCCGUACUGUGGUCCAAAUUGUGUGGCUUGACUUGGCUUGCCACCUGAAAAUGGUCCAAAUUGUGUGGCUUGACUUGGCUUGCCACCUGAAAACAAUUUUAUUGCUACAAGACAAUCAGCCAUAUUCCAUAGAUAAUAAUUCGAGACUAUCGCCUACUACUAAUUGGUCCUCUCUCUCUCUCUCUCUCUCUCUCUCUCUCUCACUUUAUCAUUUGCAUGCGGCCUCUCUCUUGCAAACAAUUUGAGACUAUUGUCUACUGAUUAGUCCUCACUCGCUUUCUCUGUUCUUUAUCCCUCUUGAAAGUUCUCGCCUAGGCUUGUUUACAGUUCCUCUCUCUCUGAUCUUGUGCCUCGCUUCACACCUCAGCUCACUUGUGAUAAUCACUUUUUGAUCUCUUAUUAGCAUCUCGUUUAUUUUGAUUUUGUCACUUUAUUAUUGGAAUAAUCGGUUGAACAAAGUGCGCUCUGGGCCCUUUUUGUCUAUUGGGGAUGCGGGGGUGGUUACUGAAUAGCAUAGGAGGGUCUUCUAUUCUCUCUUUUGGAGUCGCUGUUGCCUAUUGAACGAGGUAUGUCCCCGGCUUAGAUUUGACUUCAGUGAAAAAAGGAAAGCCUUUUGUUUUCGACUUUAGAUGUGUCUAAUCCUAUGAUGGCCUUGCUGUGUGAUUCUUACUCACAUCGUAAUUCAGUAUUAAUCUUUUGUUGAACUAGAGCGAGUAGGUCUGCAAGUGCACUGGACUCUGUUGCGCGCAAAUUUGCCACAUUUCGGUUGAAUUCAGAGACCAUUCUAUUUUUCUUUUGCAUUGUGAGGUUUCUCUAUGUUUGAAGGUCCUAGAUCAAUUUAUGGAAAACUAAAUCAGAAAAAUAAAAUUAGGCUGGUUCCUGGGUCAACUAGUUUGGUUCUCGGUUAUAAAAGAGGAGAACCAAUCAUUACAUAAUAAGUUCCUAAUUCUUUGUUUAAUACCCACUUAUCCUGAAAUUAUUCAUCCUAAGAGCAAGUCUUCUCUUAAGGAGACUUCAUUCAACAAAUUUACCUCCCUCUAGAACAUUCCAAAUGAGUAAUAUCCUGUUUUACUCGAAUUGUUGGACCAUUAAUCCUAGAAAGUGUAUUCGCUUUCUCCUCUAAUUCAUUUUCUCCCUUCUUUAGCAAGAAAAAAGAAAAUAAAAAUCAUUUUCUCACUUCAAAGCUUCAAAAGUUGACCAAGUCUUUACUUGAAAAAAAGAAAAGUAAAUGAGGAAUUAAAAAGUACGGUGAGAGUUUAAGCAUUUUAACUAUAUUGCUACAUUUUACCUGCUCACAACUCAUUAUAAUUUCAAUCACUGCAAUAUAAAACAUACCAAAGUCCAUAGAAUGAUACUUCUUAAGAUCUUUUACAUGAUAUCCAAUAGUAAGAAAAAAAAAUAUAAAUCGAUCUUAUGACACGCACACGAAAACAAUAGAAUAAAUUGAGCCAUACACGCAUAUUGGGAGAGUCACCUAGCUUUAAAUCACUCAUUUCUUGCACUUCUUUCUUUACAAACAAUAAAUUUAUUCUUCAAAAUGUGAUUAUCAAUUUAACCUGAAUUAUCACAAAUUUACCCAAUUAUCCUAUUCUACUUCCAUUUCAAGUCAUUCCUUUGCAGGGCUUCUUGUGUCUUUGUGCUUGUAUCCAAUAAUCUCAAUAAGAAGAAAAAAGAGUGCAUAAAAAGAGAGCACUAAGGAAGCAUCCGCUCCUCCAUUUUGUGCCAUCCAACAAAUUAUAGCUCUAUUUUAUAGACAAGAUAUCAAUCAACUUUAUAGAUUUGAAAAUUUGAAAUGAAAGGCUCGGUGAUAGCAUACUAAUUCAAAAUAAAUUCAUUUUACAUGGAAUUGCAGCAUGUGGUGCCAAUGUGAAAUAGAUAAAAGAUAAAUAACCACGUUCAAUAAUCUCAAUAAGAAGAAAAAAGAGUGCAUAAAAAAAGAGCACUAAGGGAGCAUCCGCUCCUCCAUUUGGUGCCAUCUAACAAAUUAUAGCUCUAUUUAUAGACAAGAUAUCAAUCAACUUUAUAGAUUUGAAAAUUUGAAAUGAAAGGCUCGGUGAUAGCAUACUAAUUCAAAAUAAAUUCAUUUUACAUGGAAUUGUAGCAUGUGGUGCUAUCGUGAAAUAGAUAAAAGAUAAAUAACCACGUUCAAUAAUCUCAAUAAAAAGAAAAAAGAGUGCAUAAAAAGAGAGUACUAAGGGAGCAUCCACUCCUCAUUUUGGUGCCAUCUAACAAAUUAUAGCUCUAUUUUAUAGACAAGAUAUCAAUCAACUUUUUAGAUUUGAAAAUUUGAAUUGAAAGAUUUGGUGAUAGCAUACUAAUUCAAAGUAAAUUCAUUUUACAUGGAAUUGUAGCAUGUGGUGCUAGCGUGAAAUAGACAAAAGAUAAAUAACCACGAGCAUUUGUUUAUCUCUACCUCACAUUUCCAACCUCAUUAAGAAUAUGACAAUUUUAAACAAAAUUAAAAUAUAAAAUCACAUCCACAAUUACUAGCUUGGUAUUUUCUUGAAGUCUUUCACACAUUUCUACUUCUGUUUCAACUCAAUUAUUAUCUUUAAAUGAUUUAUUAAAUUCUGAGUUUCAAUAACUAAAUAAAAACCAAACGUAUGCUUAUAUUCUUAAUUGAAUGCCAUAUGGUUGUACACGAAUUCUAGUUCUUUAUAGCCCAACUGAAAAAUUAAUGUACACGGUACUCGUGGGUGGAUCAAGCCAACAAGUUUGACUUGAAUAGUUUGAGGUCCAAAAGAAGAUAAGGCGGAGGCUAAAAGCAUCUGCAACUGCUCCUAGUCAAUCAAUUACCAAUAAAUUAAAGAUUUCAUGUUCGUUUUUCCUUGUGCGGUAACAGAUUUAUGUUUGUUAUUGUUCAUGGAGAUUAGUUCAUCGAUCAUUUUUAUGCAGCAAAAAAGCAUCUUUUGUUCCAAUUUUCCCCCUCAAAUUGCCAUACAUUUUUCAUUCCCUUUUUAGCUUUCAAUUCAUGUUCAUGAAAUUUUCCAUGUGUCGUGAAUUCAUAAUUCAAAAGCCUUUUGGACAUUACUUCUAAAUAUCGCUGCUUCCUUAUAAAAGUAAGCCUAGACACUUCAUUUCCUUCUUUUCUAUGUUUUUCCCUAAUUUAUCUUUUAUUUUUUAAUAUUUCACAUUCUUCUUUUAUCAUUGUUUUGCUGACUUUUCAAGAGUUGAAUGAUAUGCCGACAAAAUUGUAAUAAAAAAAAAUGACCCGGAAAAGAACUCAAGGACAGUGUACAAGUAUUUCAUAUAUCAUUGGUAACUUAAUACUAUCGUGUUAUGCUCAUUUGGUGUCAUUUAACAAAUUAUAACUCUAUUUUGCAGACAAUUUACCAAUCAAUAAUUUAAAUUUUAAAUUUUGAAGUGAAUAGCUUGGUAACAUCUUAUCAUAGAUUCAUCUUAUAUAAAAUUAUUGGCUUGUGGAGCCAACACGAAAUAAAUAAGAGAGAAAUGACAAAGACCAUUUGUUCAUCUCUACCUUGCAUUUCCAACCUCAUUAAGAAUAUGACAAUUUUAAAUAAAAUUAAAAUAUGAAAUCACUAAAUUUGGACGAAAACAUCAAAGAAGUGAAGCAAACGACCCGAAACAAAUAGAGAGGCAACAUUCACACAAAAAGAGAAAAGAACAUAGGAGGGAGGGAGAACAAAGACGGUCUAAGAUUGAUUGAAGGGAGGGGUACCUUGUUCCAAGCCAUUGGAAGAGAGAAGAGAGAAGCUUGAAUUUUCUUGGAGAAAUAAGUUAAAAGUCGUCGAAAUAUUUUGGAUACAUGUUGGGUGGAAAUGACGUAAAUGGAACUUAGUUUCAUUGAUAGACUUAAUUAUCGUUCAUUCUAUUCAUCCUUAAAAAGGAAGUAAGGCCAAUUGGAAGAAAACUGCACUUUUUGCAUUUCCUCUCAUUUCUAUGCACUUAUAGAAAGAAAUAGAAUGUGGGCUCAAAAGGAAGUAUUUCCCUUUCAUUUAGAAUCAUUUUCAUCAACUUCCUUCAUAAUCAAACAACUGAUCAAUUGAAAAUUUUUCCUCGAUUAAUUUUUUAGAUUUAGUUAAAAUGCCUAAAACUUGAAACCCGCCAAANNNNNNNNNNNNNNNNNNNNNNNNNNNNNNNNNNNNNNNNNNNNNNNNNNNNNNNNNNNNNNNNNNNNNNNNNNNNNNNNNNNNNNNNNNNNNNNNNNNNUGGGUAACAAUUACAUGACACUCAUUAGUUUGGCCAAUGGACAUGGGAUUAGACAGAAAGGGUUGUGAAAAUGAGGUGGUGGAGAUAGUUAGGGUUGUUUAUUUAUUAGGAUAAAAAUAAUAACAGUAAGGUCGAAGAUCAUGACAAGAAUUAGGCAUCGUGUGAGCUUUAUUCAGAGGAAGAUGCUUCCAUAAAGUUCCAUACAUAAUAUCAAUAUCUUACCUUGAACUGAAAGAAUCCGCCUUUAAAUAUCAUACACAUACGUGAAGUUCCGUAGUUUUUCAAAUGUGCUUUAAGUAAGUCGAUUAAUUACAAUGCAAUUUGUGUAAUUUCAAAUUUGUGUUUCUAAACAAGUAAAUGAUGUGGGCUUUUUGGGGGCCUCUUCAGGGCCACCUAAUCUUCUGCAAUGAAACGAGUUAGCUUACUUAACUGAAGGUUGUGUCUUUAUUACCUAGGGAAUUAACGAACCCAUUAUUUGAAGCCAACAAGCAUUUGCAGAAAAAGCAUCUUUCGUUGUUCAACAAUCCUUUUAAGCAGCAAAAAAAGCAUCUUUCUUUUCAACUUUCCCCCUCAGAUUGCCAUGGACAGAGGGCAGACUCAGGGAAAGAGAAAGAGGGCAGAGGAAGAGAGCACCGAAGGAGCAGCCACUUCUUCUUUCAUCCCUCUAGAAGCCACAUGUGUAGGUAGCGGUCAAUACGAAGUGUUCUUGAGCUUUAGAGGCUCAGAUACCCGCAAUACAUGUCACGCCCCGAUCCUCGGACGCGCGCACAUCCUUCUACUUGGUCGAUUUUAUAAUGCGAUAUCCCAGGACUAUGUAUCGCCGACCCUUCUUUUAUUAAGCACACGCGNNNNNNNNNNNNNNNNNNNNNNNNNNNNNNNNNNNNNNNNNNNNNNNNNNNNNNNNNNNNNNNNNNNNNNNNNNNNNNNNNNNNNNNNNNNNNNNNNNNNNNNNNNNNNNNNNNNNNNNNNNNNNNNNNNGCAUAAAAGUCUCACACCUAUCUAUACCAAGACAGGGUUCACAAAAGGGAUGGGAUCUCAAUCCACAUCCGGGUUACAUUCAAGAUCCCUCUCUGGAUCAUCUUCUUCUUCAAAAGUCUUCCUCCCCUUCAGGUUCCCCUUCCUUAGCUUCUCCUCAGGGUCCUGAAAUGGUUAUUCAAUAACCAAUGAGACCACGUCUCAGCGAGUCCUACCCACUAAGACUCGAUUAAUAAACUAAUACGCCAUCCGGUUGCCUAAGCACAACACGAGUCAGAGGACUUACCUUAGCCUCAGUUCCAACCUGCAAUUCAAGGUUAAACAUAGAUAUUCAAACAAUUCACGACAUCCGAUCAAGCAUUGAUCAAUCGACUAAGUCGAUUACAUGUCAGCCAGACCCUUUCUAGGUCAUUCCCACUCAUACCACACUUUCUCAGUGGUGUACUCAUUCACCAAAUCACAUGUGUUUCUUGGGCGUCGUUUUCGCCAAUGACAUACCGAUCACCGACACCGUGCGUUCUUUAAGGCGCCGUUUUCACCAGUGAUAACCUUGAUCACCGAACCACGUGUCUCUCAAGGGCGCCGUUUUCACCAGUGAUAUUCCCAUAAUCACCGAACCACGUGUCUAUAAGUCAUUUACGUGCGUUCUUUAAGGCGCCGUUUUCGCCAGUGAUACUUCUAAUCAACGUACUGGCGCUAUAUACCCAUGCUUGGCCAUUACCAAUCAAAUAUUCAAUAACAAACAAUUUAGGACACUUCCUAAAAUUCCACAAUAAAUUCAAUUCCACACAACGUAGAACUCAAAUAAAUAAACGGUCUGCACCACAACAAUCGGCACGAAAUUCCGGUCACCGGCCAUCCCGGUUGAAUUUCCGGAAAAAUAAUUAAUUAAAUAAAUAAAUUUCGAAAAUAAAUAAAUAAACAUUAAAAAUCCAAUUUAGANNNNNNNNNNNNNNNNNNNNNNNNNNNNNNNNNNNNNNNNNNNNNNNNNNNNNNNNNNNNNNNNNNNNNNNNNNNNNNNNNNNNNNNNNNNNNNNNNNNNNNNNNNNNNNNNNNNNNNNNNNNNNNNNNNNNNNNNNNNNNNNNNNNNNNNNNNNNNNNNNNNNNNNNNNNNNNNNNNNNNNNNNNNNNNNNNNNNNNNNNNNNNNNNNNNNNNNNNNNNNNNNNNNNNNNNNNNNNNNNNNNNCGGAGACCGAAUCACCGCAACGGCGACGCGACGGCGGCCGAAAUCGGACUUUCGACGACACCGGCGUACUUGGACCGGGCCUUGGACUUGGCCCCAACAAAUCUCAGCCCAACUGAGAUUUGUUUCUUGCUUUUGGGCCAGACCCAAGUUGAAUUGGGCCUGCUGCGAAGAUGGGCUUCAAGCUAUGGGCUGAGCUGCAAUUGAUUUGCUGAAAAUUGGGCUUGGCCAAUUAACUCACAUGGGCUGGACUGGGCUUGAACUUGGGCCAAACUGAUGCCGAUCACUUGGGCUAGAAUAAAACUAAACUGGGCUGUCUUUGUUGGGCCCAAAAGAAAUUCACUGAGCUUGGAGACUGCUGGACUUGCGGUUGAACUCACGAAGGAGUUGGGCUUCGCUGGCCUCGCUAGCUUCGUUGGACGCUGCUCCGUUAGCAAAUCAAAGGGGCGGGUUGUUGGAGUUGACCGGUUGAUGCUGCCUUCGGUGAAUUGAUUUGAAGGCACGAAGGAAGACCGAAGAUGGGUGGUCUUCGCUAGGGUCUUCAAGUCGUUGAAGUCCUCGGACGUGCGGCUUCUUCAGUCAACGGCGGGGCUUCUUCUGAUUUCGCUGUUGACCGAGCGUGCUGGCUGAAGACAUGAAGCGGUGGAGAUGACUUCCGCAGCUACUGGACGCAUGGAGGGGGUCUUCAAGCGGUCAACCAAGAGCUUCAAUUGAAGCUGUUGUUGACCGAACCAGGCGUACACACUGCCAAGUGGCAGCAAGCUCGGCAGAAUGGAGCGGGCGUCGUUGCUUGCGGAGAAGGCCGUUCGGUGUCACAGAGACAAACGAAAGUGGGCUUUGCUGGCAGGGAGAUUUCGGUGUAUUGCGGCUUCGCAUGGGGCAGCUUCAGUAAGUCUUCACGCUGCUGGAGAAGACACGAAGCUCUGCACGCGAUUAACGAUCUUGUUGCUGCUGUUGUCUCGGUCCUCAAGCGGCAGUAGUUCUCGGCAGAAUGGAGAUUGUCGCACAAAGAAAUGAGAAGGGAGGGAGAGAGGUAGUUCACGGCAGCAAGAUGGAGAGGAUGAGGAAGAGUUGGGCUCCACUUGGUUGGAUAUUUCACAAAAUAUCUUCCAAAAUCAAUCUUGGCCAUGUAAGAAUACUUGGCCUUCAAUAGGCCAUCAAAACACUCUCUUCUAGAAGACCAAGUGGUCCAAAGGUUGUGGCUAGGUGGGGGUACACGAAUUUGGGAGAGAUGGCUUAACUUGCACAACCAUUCUCUCCAAAUUGAGGUCCAAUUUUGAUGUAGAAAAAUCCCAAAUGAUUUUCUAUAAUUCCCCGACACACAAUGGCUCAACCCGAAAGUCAAAUUUCCCAUUAAUUUAGCCAAUCCGAACUUCGGCCAAACUUCCACGACGUCCGAACCCAAUUUCCGUAAAAAUCUCGGGACCUCCGAAAAAUCUUCUGAGACCGAGUUGACGUUCCUAAAAUAGCUUGUGACAUCACUGAACUUUCGAUUUCUGAAAUCUGACUCAAAUCGACGGUUAAUUUCACUCCGGCGUGCUUUUAGUGUGACCUAGACUACUGGGUAGUUUUCAGAACUUUUUAGGGCAAUUGACUCGUGGUCGAUUUUCUUCGAGCCACAAUGAACCCACUCGACACAUUGGCGACUCUCAAUUGUCGUGAAAAUCUCGAGGGCUCGAUUACCAACACAGGGUACCAAAACGACAGAAAAUCAAAUUAGUGCCAGUCGACGAGAAUUUUCCAAUUUAGUGGAGUCACCCACGAUCGGCCACACAUCUCAGUCGAACCGACCUAUCUCUGAUCUCAAUUCGAUCUUUAACUGUGCAGUAAUGACCUCUAAAGAUGAACACGGUCGAGAAGCCGCUUCCUGGUCGAAUUCUCAAGUCUAUUGCCUUAAUAUUCUUUAAUGGCAUACCCAGCUAGUCCAGUUAUCUCGAGAGUGAUCAGCUCUGAGAACAACCCUAUAGACACGUCAAUGAAAUGCCCGAUUAAUUUAAUAGAAAACAAUACUAAAAAUUCUGGAUGUCACAAUACAUUCACCGAUCACCUCUAUCACCGUCUGAUCAAGGCAGGGACUGUACCGUUUUGCGUGUUUAGGGACGAGAACAACAUCCAAAUUGGUGAGGAAUUUGGUUCAAAGAUUCUCGAUGCCAUCGCACAGUCUAAGAUUUCGAUUCCCAUCAUCUCCGAAAAUUAUGCUUCGAGCAAGUGGUGCCUCCACGAGCUCGUUCAUAUCAUGGACCGUAAGAAGAGUGCGUCACACAUAGUGUUGCCUAUAUUUUACAAAGUUGCCCCAUCGGAUGUACGGCAUCUAAAAGGAAAUUUUGGAAAUGCCUUCCACUCGAGUCAAGAGCGUUUUGAUGAGAAGGAGAUCGCGAAAGGGCAACAAGCACUAAAUGAAGUUAGUCAAUUAAAUGGAUGGGAAUCUCAAAAAAUUGCGAACGGGUAUUUUACUGAACUUUCCUUUUUUGAUAAGUAAGUUUUCUUCUUUUGGUAGAAUCGAGGAAAUGCAAAUGAAUUACUUUUACUACAAGCUCAGAAAAGAUCCCCAAUGACAACAAACACCAGCACUCCCCAAGAUGUCCCUGAAAACUAAACCAAUGACAACUGAAACCAAAGCAUCCUAUAGUGCCCAAGAAUUUAAAUUUUCCUCUGGAAUAGAGCAAAAAAAAAAAAAAAAGAAACGACAAUAUCUCCAGCCAAUGGUAUCAAUCACUAAACAAUAGGCCUCCAAAUGACUCCAAUGCUCGAUCUUCAAAGCUNNNNNNNNNNNNNNNNNNNNNNNNNNNNNNNNNNNNNNNNNNNNNNNNNNNNNNNNNNNNNNNNNNNNNNNNNNNNNNNNNNNNNNNNNNNNNNNNNNNNCUCUCAUUGUUUUUGUGUUUGACAGCCACGAGGGAAAUUAAUAGUAACGUGUGUUGAAACUGUUUUAAGCAAGUUACAGGAAGAUUUCAACUUGAUGUGCCAGAGCAACUAGUUGGACUUGAUCAUCGUACGAAGGAAAUUAUGAAUUGGAUCGACAAUUCUUCCAUCAAUGCUCGAAUGAUUGGAAUUUACGGCAUGGGUGGGAUAGGCAAGACAACUCUUGCCAAGUGCAUCUACAAUCAACUCUCAAAUAAAUUUUCGCAUGUCAGCUUCCUUCCAGAUGUUCGAGAAACUUCCAGGCGCCACGGUGUUACAUAUUUACAGAGUCAACUUGUAUCGGAUUUACUAAAUGAAAAAACCAAAGUUUCUAGAAUUGAUGAUGGAAUUAAUAUAAUCAAAUCUAGAUUCAGACAAAAAGAGGUUCUCAUUCUUUUGGAUGAUAUAGACGACAAGAAUCAACUAGAUGCAUUGGUUAGGAAACAUAAUUGGUUUAUGGCAGGAAGUUUGAUCAUUGUUACCACUAGAAACAAAGCUGUUCUUGAUCAAUCUGAAUUUGAGGUAGACUACAAGUAUGAAUUGAAUGAAUUGGAUAAGGUGCAAGCUUUGCUUUUGUUUAAUAGACAUGCAUUUCGUAAGGACCAUUGUCCGGGGGACUUUGAUGGCAUAUCUCGUGAUAUCAUAUCCACCAUGGGUGGGCUUCCCUUGGCACUUCAGGUUGUAGGUUCAUACUUGUAUAGGAAAGAUCGAAAAGUAUGGGAAGAUGUGCAGAAAAAAGUAAAAAACCAACCAGAUAGAAAUGUCCAAAAGAUAUUACAAAUAAGUUAUGAUGCAUUAGAAGAAGGACAUAAGCAGAUUUUUCUCGAUAUCGUUUGUUUCUUAAUUGGCAUAGAUUACGAUGACGAAGCUGCACGACUCGCCAUGUACAUGUGGGAGGACUGUGGGUUUUAUCCAAGUCAAGGAAUUGAAGAGUUGAAGUUGAGAUGCUUAAUUAAAAUUGGAGAUUAUGGUGAGUUCAAGGUGCAUGAUCAACUGAGAGAUCUUGGAAGGAGCAUUUUUUGCGAAGGACAACCGCUUGAGAAACGUAGUGGACCAUGGGAUGAUGACUAUGAGGGAGUCCCAAGUGUACUAAGACAUCUAGAGGUAAAAUAUGGCACUCUUUUCUUUUUCUCUCCCUCUUAUUUUAAUCAAUUUAAUAUGAUCUAUUCUAAUAUUUCAUUGAGCGGGAAAUAAUGCUCUUACUUUCUAGGAAAAAAAAUAUAUUUAAACAUCCAUUUAUGUCCAUCGUACAUUAACCGUGACACUAAAUAAAUCGCAAGUAUCUCAGGGAUGAAAAAGUAAUAUCAUUGAUUCAAUUUCAUUGUUAUGCAUUACAUAUGAAAAAAUUUAAUUGACAAUCAAUUUAAGAUCCUUUAACUACAAUUUUAGACUAUAAAUCUCAUUUACUUAAAGCAUGCAAUUGUCAUAUCUAUUUGAAAAUAUUGAUAAUUAGAAGGACUAUAAUUAUGAAUGAAGAUGAAGUAUAAACAUUAAGAUCAAAUAAGUGAAGAUUUCCUGGUUAAAAAAGAAAGGAUAGUAUAAUAACCAAUAAUUAAUUCAAAACUAAGAUUGGAAAAAAAUUUCACGUGUAUCACAUAUGUUUGCUUUCUAUUAUGGCCAAAUGUAUUGUGGUGCUCUUGUGAUUUAGGAAUCGAAUGUUUGAUAUUUUUUUCUCCAUUUUGAUUUGGAAGAUACCGUCCCAGAUCUAUCUGUUUUCAUUCUUAUUUCCUCUUAAUAGAUAGCAAAAAUCUCCUUAAAAAUAUAUACAAGAAAAUCUUACUGUUUUUUAAGGAUCUAUCGCAUUGGCCUUGCUCAUUUCAUGGAUUAGGUAAGGUCUAGGUGUAUAAGAAAGAGUGGAUUUCCUUAUAACAGACAUUUCUAUCCUCUAUAAGUUGUUUAAUAUUAUUUAUAUUUUUUAGGACAAUGCCUCUUUUGUGCGAGAAUUCGCUGGACUAACUUGACUAUUUUAAAUUAAAAAAAGAAAAAUUGAUUAAUCGGAGGAAAUGUCAUGCUUAUUAUUAUAUCCAUAACCUUGUAUUCAUCAUGUAUGAUUUUCAGCAUGAAGCCAAUUUUCUCAAAUAUGUUUUAUCUUUUACUUAAAUUAUCAAUGUUCAUGUCAUUUUAUUAUAUAUUGUCCAUCUGAAAAGCUUCACAGGCUCAUGGCUGAUCAAUGGCAAUGAAUUAACCCUAGAAAUUGACCAAGAGAUGUUGGGCAAACAAAGCAGCUUUAUAUUCUUGAUAUAAUUUGAAAUAGUUCGUUCCUAUGAUUUAAUAUCAGUCUCUUUUGUUGAUCCAAUAACUUCUUAACAUUAGCAAAAAGAGCACACCAUUUAGGUGUUUGAAAAAAUGAAAAAGAAGAGUCAAUUCUGUUUUGAAUGGAUAAAAAUGCUGAAAGAUGAUAAAUAGCGUCGAAAAAAAUGAAAUUAUUGUACAAUUCGAGAGAUUUUGAUUUAACUUUGGAAAUUGAAAUACUUAUGGGACUAAUUUCCAAUUGACUACUUCAAAUAUGAUUAUUUCUAUUUUGUUAUAUCUUAUUUCUUUAGUUCAUUUUGGUGAAAUAUAUGCGAAUUGUGUGGAAACUUUUGACGAAAGUUUGAGGUUUGAAAUCCCAUUUCCAUACAAUAGAUUUUUUUAAUGUAAUACAUAGUAUAGAUUGAUGUACGAGUGAAAAUUAUUAAAGAUAGUGUGGGAUGGUGAUUACAACAAUUUAGCGACUUUCAGACGAAUAGACUUAAGAGAAUUUAUACCCAUUGCAUUUCACUCGUUAAUAUUUAAAGCGGAUAUAACGACACACGUGUCUAACCAUAAAUGUGAAUUUCUAACCAAUUAAACUUUUGGGGGAAAAUAUAGGCAUUAUUAUAAAGUCAAAUAAAGCCAUAAGGAAAUUUCUUUCACCGUCUGCAACUAAUUAAAUGAUCUGUUUUAGUAGGAAAGUUAAACAGUAUGUUUUUUGAUUUAUAAGAUGGAAAAAGAAACGAUGCUAUUCUUAUGGAAACCAACGUAUGAUGAUUAAACAAUGUUACCACGACACUUUUUAGUUAAUCGGUUCAUUUUCUAGUUAUUCUGAAAGCGACUUAUUUUUUUCAAUCCUGGUCAAAACUACUAACCAAUGUCGCCACGUCACUUUUUAAACAAACUUUACCCAAAAAAAAAAAAAAUCAUUUCGAUUGUCAAAGAAAUGAGUAAACAUUCCGCGCAAAUAGUUAAUGACGUUAAAGAUAUUUAGAUACCUUCUAGAGAUAAUGAUAUGUCUUUUUAAUUUUCUAUAUCUAUUUUGAUAAUGCAUAUCAUAUUUGAUUUCUUUUGAUUUCCCUCCACGUAAACUUUUCUAUAUAUCUGAAUAUAUUAAAAAUUCCCCUCUUUUUUUUCUCUUCCACAUUAUUACAUUUAACUAAUGAAAUGAAAAUAGGGUGAUUCCUUAGCUACUUACAGGUGGCCCGUCGACACUCUUUAACAAAUUCUUUUAAAAAUUAUAAGUCAUUUAAAAAUUUACAAAUAAACAUUUAUACGUUGUAAACUAGUUUGAUGUAUUUCUUCUUAAAUGAAAGUGAAAAUCCAUGCGCUACAAAAUUUUGAAAAAGAAGAAGAAACAAGAGAUAAAACAUUGAGGUGCAUUUGCUUCAGUUGUUUUAAAGCAAUAAUUAUUUUUUUCUUUAUCUUUGCGUCAUUUGUUUAACUUUCAAAAGGUCGUAAAAGAAGAAGAAAUAAAUGUGAGUUUACAUAUCCAUACAUGUACAGGGGAAGGAUAAAAAGGUAAUCGUGCAAAUUCAAGAUUUAAAAAAAGCAAAAACUAAAAAGUGAAAAAACUUGCAGAGACGCCCCUGGUUCCACGGCUUUUUGGGGGCAGCUUCUAGCGGAGAUUUCAAGUUUUCUGAAGUGAGAUGGCGUGAGUGGGACGUUCGUGGAAACGAUGCGUCUCUUUCGACGAUCAACUUUCAUUUGCCAAAAUUAUCGGUGCUGAGCUUAUGGGAGGAUUGGGAAGGAAUCGCAAAGGAUUGGAGAAUCACAGAGAAUUGGGAAGAAUGGAAUUCAUUAAUGGUAAGAUUGGGAAAAGAAUACAUCCUCUCUGCGAUCUUGAGGUUUGUUUUUUUGUUUAGCCAAUCAACUCCUCAUUUGACGGAUUAUUCCCCUUUUGUAUUAGGCGUCAAAGCAGCUUAAAGUUCUCCGCGUUAAAUGGUGUAAUAAUUUAAGAUGUACUCCUGAUCUCUCAGCUUUUACGCGGUUGAAAAUUCUCGUAUUGAGCGAUUGUGAUGGAUUGGAGCAUCUCUACCCUUCUAUUGGCGAGCUCACAAGCCUCGUUACCUUGGACUUGCGUUUCUGUAGAGGUCUCAAGGAGCUACCAGAGGAGGUGGGUGGAUUAAAAGAUUUAGAAGAACUUCUUUUAGAUGAAUCUCGUAUUACAGCAAUUCCUUCGUCUAUUGGUUCUUUGAGGAAAUUGAAGACACUGAGUGCCGAGUGGUGUAAGUCACUGAGAGAAAUCCCCAGCUCAAUUGGGGAUUUACGGAAUUUGCAACAUCUUAACUUGGGAAGUACUGCGAUCGAAAAGCUUCCCAGUGCUAUUGGAGGGUUGAAAAAUCUGCAGAUUCUAAAUCUCAGCUGGUGCAUAAGUUUGAAAGGGGCAAUUCCAAGUGAAAUCGGUGACUUGCCUUCCCUCGAGACUAUCUAUCUCAAUCUCACACUGAUAUCUGACCUGCCAGAAAGUGUUCGGAAUCUGUCUUCUCUCCAAAGCCUUUACCUAGAGGAUUGUAAGGAGCUCUGGUCGCUGCCAGAGCUUCCUUCUUCUCUCCAACGCCUUGAACUAUUGGGCUGUGAGAAGCUCCAGUCACUACCAAAGCUUCCUUCGAGCUUAACAUCGCUGCGGGUCACUUGUCAGAGUCUUGGACUGCCUCAGCUUUUUGGCCUCAUCCACCUAGAAGAACUCCAACUUGAGGUGCGCCAUUUACUUGAAGACAUCCGCGAGCUUUCCUCAAUAACACUGAAACUCUGUUUUGAGGAGUGGGAUAAGCUGACAUCACUUAAGCUCGUAUGGCUCACGCACUUGGAAGAGCUUUCAAUAAAAAAAGUGCAAUUCCAUUAAAACAUUGAGCUUUUCAGGAUUGAUUCAUCUGAAACGAUUACACAUCGAGCAUUGCUAUAGCCUAUCUAGAAUUCAGAAUUUUGAUAGUUUCAAGUCCUCGGAGGUCAUGUUUUUAUAUGACGACAUUUCCAUUAAAAGGCCAUUCCAUCCAAAAUCAGAGUGUUUGAAGAAAUUAGUGGCUGUUGGGUGCGACAAUCUAGUCAGAAUUGAAGGUCUUGACAGUGCGAAGUUCUUAGAAGAGUUGGACUUUACAGGAUGCAAAUCAAUGGGGACUUUGCCAGAUUUGACAGGAUGUGAGAAGUUACAAUCUCUAAGAGUUAAAGACUGCAAGAAACUUACUAAGCUUAAGGUACUUGAAAAGUUGAAUUUAAUUGAUUUGGAUAUUUCUGGUUGUGACUCAUUGGUAGAGCUUUCAAUAAAAAAGUGCAAUUCCAUUAAAAGAUUGGAGCUUUCACAAUUGUUUCGUCUGAAACAAUUACGCGUUGAGCAUUGCGAUAGCCUAAUUGGAAAAUGGGGCUAUGAUGAAUUGGAGUCCUUGGAGGUCAUAUUUUUAUAUGACUGCAAUUCCAUUAAAAGGCUUUUCCAUCCAAAAUCACGGUGUUUGAAGAAAUUAGUGGCUGUUGGGUGCGACAAUCUAGUCGAAAUUGAAGGUCUUGACAGUGCGGAGUUCUUAGAAGACUUGGAUUUUACAGGAUGCAAAUCAAUGGAGACUUUGCCAAAUUUAACAGGAUGUGAGAAAUUACAAUCUCUAAGAGUUCGAGACUGCAAGAAACUUACUAAGCUUCAGGGACUUGAAAAGUUGAAUUUAAUUGGUUUGGAUAUUUCUGGUUGUGACUCAUUGGAAGCAAUACCUAACUUAUCUGGAACGCGCAUCUUUAGAAAUUAUGAACUAACUCCUCUGUUUUUACCGAACUUAUCUGGAACUCGCAUCUUUAGAAAUUAUGAACAAGAUCUGUCUUUUGAUUGAUGGAGUGAUGUUUCCUGAAUAGAGGUAAAUAAGCAAUGAACAAUCAUUUUUCGUUUGAAAUUCAUGACCUACUUUUCAUCACUAUCUUCUUUUGACAAGAAGGUUUUCUGCGAUGGGGUUCUGUACUUUCCUAAAUUGCUAUUCUUACAUAAUUGAAGGAGUGGGGCAGUUGGUCGUAGAAGCUGACAUGAUGCUUUAGCCAAGAUCAAAAUGCAGACCCUGAUGUCAAUAGAAGGCAUAGUAAGAUACUCCAUCCUUGAAUGGCCAGCGUGAACAAAUAGUGAUACUUUUCUCGAAGUUGUAUUUUUUUAGAAUGAUAUGCUUCACACUAGAUAUCUAUUUGAUUGUUUUUGGAAACUCUGGAUUUGCCUUUGUAUAAUUGUUGUUGAUUACAUUAUAGUAAUGUUUUUCAUUUAUCCUUCCAUUGGCAGCUUCUGUAGACUGCAAACAGAUAGCAGCUUGCAAGGGAAGAAUAUAAAUACCAACAAAGAUAAACAGGAAUUAUCUAGUAAUUAACAUUUCCCUUAUCGAAAAACUCAGGAUUUGAAAUUUUCAUCUAGAGGCCAAUGAACUUCUGCUACUCAUUAUUGUAUUAUUGUAUACUAAACUCGAAAUUUCCCAGUGUCCAAAGUUUAUAUUUUCUUUUCAAAAUCCUUGGCCAUUUUGAGUUCCUUUAGUUCUUUUGUAUGUCAAAUUUGACUAAUGGCAGAUGUCCUGUUUAGGACGAACGCCUUCUGAUUUUCUGUGAUGAACGAAAACCCUGUCAAGUUUCUUAUUGCUCCCUUGAUGGCCCUCAUUAACCCUCUAAGAAGAGCAUCACUUCCCAGUAUAUAUGAUGAACUGAGCUAAAAUAAAAUUCAAGGUUCAAGUGUUUCUGUUUGGUGACAAAGAAAAUGUUAAAAGUAGUUUUGGCUAGUUUGUCAUGUAUGAAUGUUGACCACCUUAACAUUACCAGUAGGCAAACUAUUGUUUUGAAAGAUUAUUAAGCAAGGCAAAUUGGUGCUGCUUCUAUGACAGGUUUGGUUGGUCUAUGUAAUGAUCAAGGCUUACUUUGGGACUUCAAUUCAAUCAACUGUAUCGAUGGCCUUUUGCAUUAAAGGACAAUUUUUUUCCUAUCUGUGAAACAGCUGGGACGAGGAGCUCAAGAAUUUUAUCAUCUGAUUUAGGGGUGGCUAACUUGGCUGAGGAACUUCAAAUUCCAUACUUGAGACCGAUCAAAAUAAAGAAAAGGGAUUUUGUAGAGGAAACAUCAGUAACAGCUGAGGACCAUCUUGCAUGCCAAACUUAAAGACUAUUUGGGGCUGGCUGGAGUGUCCCAAGGAAGUUUUGAUGCUUCUGCAUAUUCAAAUACUUGAUCUGAUCUCAACAUCACAUCCCUAAAUAAUUGUAAAUGUAUUUUUUUCAAUUAAAUAUGCUUUCUGUAUGCUCAUUAGGUUCUAGCUCUCCUUUAAUCAAAUAUUAAGUUACUGAUUUUUUGUAUGUUACCCUGAUGCACAGUUGUUCAACGUGGUUGCAUUCUAAUUAUCACUUCGGAAUUGAUGAGGCUCUGCAGAGGGAGGUAUGCACCGCUAGGCUCCUCCAUUUCUAUUAGUUUAUUUGUGUGACAAUAUCCUUUGAAUGUUGUAAUAUAGGUUUCUGAUUUGAUAAGCUCAGUUCUGAAGUAUGUGGCAUUGGAUCUGUAAAGUUGAAAUUGACCUCCUCGCAAACUAUUUGCAUUGUUGAUUUUGCUAAUUGGAACUUGCAAAAUAACCCAGUAGCAAAUGCAUCUUUCUGUUCAGUAGUUUAGGCACUUCACCUUUUCAGCAUAAUUUUUUUAGCUUCAAUUCUGUUCCUAAAUACAAACAGGGAAAGUGUUGCUAAAUGUUUACUUCUUUUAAGUCUGUUGGUUUCUUUGUCAUCGGCCAACUAAUGAAGUCUCUCUUCGUUGUGGUCCAACUCCGAUUGGUUCAAUGUUUACACAUUUUUACCUUAUCCGUUGUGGGGUAAAUUCUGAUGCUAUGAUCUUGGAUAUCUUCAUUUAAUUAUAAUUAGUUGGUGCUAUCCUCCUUAUGCAGAUGAAAGCUACAUUUGAUGAAACUCAGAGAAACUCCCCAAACACCGCGGGUUGGAGGUAUGGGCAAGAAUGAGCUAUGUCAGUAUGGAAAGGCAUUCCAAAGUUAUUUGCAAUUGGCAUUUAUCGUUUGCUCCAUGUUGUUGAUACUCUUCGAAGGAUUCUUGAUAAAGGCGACCUCUUCUCAUGUGGUGUGUUAGUCCUUUGCAAGCUUCGAAAUCAUGUUAUUCUUUAACCAAGGCCCCAUCACUAAUUGCUUGGAGGAAGACCGCAUGUGCAAGUGGUUCUAUAUGUGAAGUCAAGCAAAAAAUGAGAUUUGUUAACAAGAGUACCAUUUAGAUGUCCACUUCAAGCUGCAAUUUUGUGACUGGGAGAGGCUUUUUUCUUGAAAAAGCAAAUGCCGUGGAAUCAGCAAAUAAUCUGUCAAUUUCAGCCAAGAGUUUCAAAGAAAAGGUUUUCAAGAAGACAGUAGUUUCUCAUUUGGAAGAAUUUAGAACACAAAUACAGGCAUUCAUUAGUGUAAAAUGAUCUCUCUAGGCUGGUUAUGUUGGAAAAUUCAUAUGUAGGCAUUUUGCAAUCGCUUUGGUUGUAUUGAUUUAUUUAAGCAUGAAUCUAAAAGCAGAAAAGACACAGCCAUGUACAUUUUCAUACCUAAAACCAAGUAGAGAGACCAGUUCAUUCUUGAAGAGCAGCAUUACCUUUCCCCUUCCAGAUUCGCUCAAGUGGAUGCAUGGAGCUCGCACCGCUUGGCAAAUUCUCCAUCAAGUUCUGGGUUCUGGAGUGGGGUAUUGAGUUGUUUUUAUGCAAAUUCUCAAUCAAAGGUUUGUCUGAGUCUCUAGUGUGGAUGGAGUUUAUAUAGGGUCUUUUUCUUGAACAAGAAUCGGUGUAUUUUUGGUUGGUGAUUAAGAAAUGUUGAAGUAGUUUUGGCUAGUCUGUCAUAUAUGAAUGUAUGCCUUUCUUAAAAUUACCAGGAGUCAAAAUGUUGUCUUGAAAUAUUAUCAAGCAAGGUAAACUAGUGUUGCUUCUAUUACAGGUUUGGUUGGUCUAUGUAAUGAUCAAGGCUUAAUUUGGGACUUAAAUUCAAUCAGCUGUAUUGAUGACCUUUUGCAUAACUAGACUAUUUUUUGCCCAUCUGUGAAACAAGCUGGGGCGAGGAGCUCAAGAAUUUGCUGAUUAGUUUACAUCCCAUUUGAUCAUAUUGUUGUCAUGGAAUUAUUUUAUCACAUGACUGAAUUGGGUGUGGCUCACUUGGCUGAGGAACUUCAAAUUCCAUACCUGAGACCAAUUUUGCAGAGAAAGCAUCAGCAACAGCUGAGGUGCCAAACUUGAAGAGGCUCAUGGGCCAAGCAGAAUAUUCUGAGGAAGUUUUGAUACAUGUGAAGAUCCAAAGCACUUGAUCUAGUCUCAACAGCAUGUACCUGAAUGAUGGUAAACGUAGUUUUUAAAAUUGAGUCUGUUGUUUGUAUGCUUGUUAGGUUCUAUCUCUUUGUUAAUCAAAAUGAGUAGCUGGUGAUUUUUGUGUAUGUUAUCCUGAUGCAGAGUUGUUUGGUGUGGUUGCAUUCUGGGGACAUCACUGUUGAACUUGAUGAGGCUAUGCACAGGUAGGUAUGCACUAAGCUCCUCAAUUUCUAUCAGUUUAUCCUUUGAAUGUUGUCAUAUAAGUUUCUAAUUUGAUAAGCUCAGUUCUCAUGUUUGCAGUAUUGAAUUAGUGAAGUCGAAAUUGACCUCCUCGCAGUCUAUCCAGAGUUGCUGAUUGGAUAUUGCCAAUGAUCAAGUAACCAGUACGUCUUUCUGUUCUGUAGUUUAGGCAUUUCACAUUUUCAGAAUAAUUUUAUUAACAUUAAUUUUGUUCCUAAACACAAACGGGGAAAGUGUUGCUGCUAAUUGUUUACUUCUUUUAAGCCUAUUUUUUUUUUCUUUUUCAUCUGCUAGCUAAUGAAGUCUCUGUUCACUGUGGUUCAACAAUGAUUGGUGUAAAUGAUGUUUUCGCAUUUGUACCUUAUCUUUCAAGGGGUAAAUUGUGAUGUUGCAAUCUCGCAUUUCUUUAUUUAUUGAUAAUGAGUCAAUCCUAUGCUCAUCGUGUAGAUUCAAGCUGCAUUUCAUGGAACUUGGAGAAAGUCCCCAAACACCACACGAUGGAUAUGCGGGCAGGAAUGAGCUAUGUCAUUAUGAAAAUGUAUUCUGAACCUAGUGGCGUUUAUCAUGUGCUCCUGUUGUCAAUACUCUUCAAAGGAUUCUGGAUAUGAAGCAGCCUUCAUGUGGGUUAUUUGUCCUUUGCAAGCACAAAUCACUUGCAGGAAGACCACACGUGCAGGUGGUUUUAUUUGUGCAAGUUAAGCAUAAAAUGAGAUUUGUCAAGGAGAUGACCAGUUAGAUGUCCACUUCAGGCUACAAUUUUGCAACUAGAAAAAUCGAAUGCCAUGGAAUCAGCAAAAAAUCUGUCAAUUGCAGCCAAGAGUUUCAGCAAAAAGGUUUGCAAGAAGACAGUAGUUUCUCAUUUGGUUGAAUUUUGAACACAGAAGAAAGGUGUUCGGUAGUGUAAAAUCAUCUCUCUAGUCUGGUGUUACCUCAGAAAAUUCAUGUCCGCAUUUUGCAAUCACUUUUAUUGUAUAAUCUCAAACUUGAUUUAUUUAAGCAUGAAUCUAAAAGCUGAAGAGACCCAACCGUAUAUAUUCUCACACCUGAAACCUAUUUCUCUCUUGCAUUGGCUGCAGUUGAAUACUAAUAACAAAACGGGGACAAAAUUUUUGGAAGGGUAAAAAGAGCCCUUCCCUAAAUUUUAUCAUUUUCAUUGAACAAAAAACUUCUAAGGGUCAUCUAAUUGGUUUAUAAUGAGAUGAUACUCCACCAAAUGGUGGUCACCGUUUCACACAUUCAAGUGUCAAUCGAAGCAAUUUCUUUGAGGCCACUCUCUAAUAUUCCUGUACCCUGUACUAGAUUACAAUGGUGGAAUGUUAGUAGUUGAAACCUACUUGCAAGGUAUUAUCGGUUUGAUGUGCUUGUCCCCUUGAACUUUGACUCAAUUUUUCCAGAGCUCAAAACAAGGCCAAGUAGCUUGUUAAGCCACAUUUGAAUCUAUAAGUACUAACACAAAUGUAAUGCAGGUCGUGUUGAAAAACUUGUUAAAUGUAGUUAACAUGAGAUAAUUUAAUUUCAGAAUAUUGGUCAAACAUUACACGAGAAAAGUCGCAAGUAAAGUCAAUGUAUAAGCUCUACACUUUAUUUACUUAGCUGCUUAGUCAGUGUCUAGGUAAUUAAUCCAAAGGGCAGUAGCUUUGUGUUUGACUACUUAUGAAACAUCAUUCACAGCCCUGUCAGCCGAAUUGAUUUGAAGUUGGAACGCAUGGUAGACCGGAUAAUUGGAUGAACAUUCUGAACCAAUUGAACCGAUGUGGUUUUGUUAACAAUUUGCUUCGAGCUUGUUUUUGAAAGUUCUAUCACAUUUUACAACAAGAUCUUAUGAAUAACAGCCGUUCAAACAAUAACUAUGUAAGUUCCCAAAGGACAAGAGAAGAUUCGGUUCAGGCUCUUUGAUUUCCUCAUAUUUGUAACUCCAAGCUCGACAGGAUGGUAGUUGAAAUAUGAAAACUGUCCUCAAAUCAGAAUGGAAGUAUAGAAGGCCUUUCAGCUUAUUUAACACCUGCUAGCUGCAUGUUAGAAUGUAUAGCUUUGGUAGUUUGCCAUAUGAUGAAUCAUAUAAUGCAGAGGAAUUGAAAUAGACAAAUUGAGGAAUUACAAGGUCAAUGAACCCCAAAACGGGGACUUAAAACAACAUUUGGCCAAAAAUAGAAGUUCUAAACAACGAAAUCGACCACAAAAGUAGAUGUAAACGUCAAAUCCUACAAAUGAAAGUAGUCAUCUUACUUUGCAAUCAGCAUCAUGUCGUUGAGAAGAGAAAUUAGCAGGUCAGACAAUUAUUACUUUGCACGAGAAUGCAUGCAUGCAUGCAUGAAGAAUCAUGGUGCUAAAUAAAUCAGAAGGUAAGGAAAUUCGGGAAAAAAAAAACUUUUGGCAAAUAUAAAUAUAUGUGAAUAUCACAGACGAGUGGUCUCAUCUUCCUAUGUUUCGAAUGCUGGAGACCAAUGAAUGAAACAAGGCUUCGAACAAACAUUAUACUGGAAAAAUCGAACAUUAUGGCACUCUUCUGAAUACUUAAUUACCAUUAAAUACAUAGUAAGAUGAUUAGCCAAUAAACAAAGCAAACCUCUUUGUUUCCUCCUUACUGAUUUCAUCAUUUUCUCUCUUGAUGAUGAUGAGCAUGAUAUUCCGUAAUUUCUACAUAUUAAAAAUCGACACAUAAAGCUUGAGCAUUUGCGUAUCAACCACCGGAACCCUUGUUUGAAAGAAGCCUUGAACUUUCCCUCGACCAAAUAAAGCUUGUAUCUGGCCACACUCCUCUUCUCUGCUUCUCCGGGUCAUUCCACCACAUUUAUCGACUUCUAAAACAUAAGAAAUAGGCAAAGACCAAAGUCCAUUUCGACUUACAACAUCAGGUUUGUCUAUUCCCAUCCCAAAGGCAAUGGUGGCACACACAAUCUGGACCUCUCCAGUAUGCCAUUUCUUUUUAACAGUGACGAGCUACUAAUCCAGCAUGAUAGUACACCAUUUUUAUAUGGCACUUCUCAUUUAAGUAUUUUGUGACAUUAACACAUUCACUCUUCCAAAAGCAAUAUACUAUGCCACAAAAAUUAGCAAAACAAAUUUUUAGCAACCCUUCAAGCUGCUUCAGUGGUUCCUAGGUCUUAGCUAAUACCUCGUAUUUUAGAUCUAGUCUGUCAAACCUUGGGUCCCCAAGCUUUGACAGACUAGAUCUAAUGUAUGAGAACAUGGGGAACCCCAAGACCUUUUAGGAUAUCCUAUGAUGGAUGUUUAAUUCAAUAAGAAUAAACAGAUUAUUUCAACAUAAUCGGGAGGUUAAUAUGUGAGUCUAGUACUCACGAACUGAUUGAGUGGCAGUUGCAGUUAAGGCCAUCACUGGGACAUACAGAAAGUUCUGCUUGAGACAUCCCAGUCCCCUAUAAUCUAGCUGAAAAUCAGGUCCCCCUUGACUAAAAAUGACAACCACAAAAGUGACAAUCAAUGAGCUUUACUCAUUUCAUGAGAUCAAAUUGGCAAAGCAAAUCCAGUUAAGACCUUGUAAGAAACACAAUCAAUGAUCACAUGGUUGAACCUUUGCCUUUCUCAAGUUGUUACCAUAAAGUAUAAGCAUUAAUAUAAUAAACAGGGACACAAGAACCAGCUUAAGAGACUAAGUAUCAUGCCAAACAUAGAUAGGAGAUUGGAUCCUUAUCCAAGCUUAUGCCGAUUCCAAUUACUCUGAGAAGUAAUUUCCAUUGGAGCCUAUUUAAGUUGUGCACUCUUUACUCAAUAUAAUGAAAGAUGGGCCACUAAGUGUUCCCAAACAAUGGAACCUAAAUCUUUUCAUCGAACAGGGAACACUGCAUUAUGUUAUAUAGAAACUUCAUAGGGUUCUGGGCUUCAGAAGGUCUAGUGUAACACCGACAAUUUAAUUAGGCUAGAAACAUAGAAAAUGCAGAGAAGUUUGGAAAAAGAAACCAGCAGUAUGUUCCUUUCAUGACAACCACGAAAGUGACAACCAAUGAGCUCUUGUGGUCAAUCAGGCAAAUGUACAAUAAAAGCUCAAACCAGCAGCAUGUUCCUUUCAAGAGAUUAAAUUGGUAGAGUAAAUCCAGUUAAUACCUUUUAAGAAACACGAUCCUUUUAAGAAACACGAUCAAUGAUCAUGUUGGUGGACCCUUGCCUUUCUCAUGUUGUCAGUAUAUAGUAUAACCAUUAAUAGAAUAAACAGAUACCCAAGAACAAGCUUAAGAGACUGAGUAUUAAGCCAAACAUAGAUAGCAUAUGGCAUCUUCCUUUCAUGAGAUUGAACUGGCCGAGCAAAUCCAGUUUAUACCUUGUAAGAAACACAAUCAAUGAUCACAUGGGUGGACCUUUGCCUUUCUCAAGUUGUCAGUAUAUAGUGCAACCAUUAAUAGAAUAAAUAGAUACACAAGAACCAGCUUAAGAGAUGGAGUAUCAUGCCAAACAUAGACAGCAGAUGGCAUCCUUAUCCAAGCUUAAGCCACUUCUAGCCACUUCCAAUUACUUUAGGAAGUCAUUUCCAUUGCAGCUUAUUUAAGUUGAGUUCUCU